GUCCUGACAGGCGGUUAUGCGAUAGGUUCAAAUGGUUCAAUGAGGUUAUAGAAGACAUGCUCGGAGGAAUUGGGCCUGAAAGGCAGUUGCAUGAGAGGUCAAGAGUUUCUAGCCCUUGCAUGGCUCCAAUCUUCUCAGGUAUCUUUCCAGUCAACUGGUUUCGGGACAAAUUCAAGGUACCCAGGGUCGAGAGAUUUGUGAUCUCUUUUGGGAUCUCUCCCCAAAUGUUAUUGCUAGAAAGAUCUAUCAAAUUCACAAUUGGCAAUAUGCUAUCAAAUUCCAUAUUUUGUCCCUUUACAACUAGCUCCAUGCGCUCCGAAUAGACGACAUGACCAUUGGGGUCGUCAAAAUUUCUGUCUAAUAAGGUCACAAAACUUAAAGCAGUUAAAUUGCCUAAGCAUUGUGGGAUGGAUCCUGAUAAAUUGUUCACUGCAAGAUCCAAAAUGUGGAGAUGAGAAAGCCAACACAAUUUCUCAGGAAUAUCUCCUGUCAACAUGUUACCCCGUAGACGCAGCUGCUCCAGUGAUGGCAUUCUUUCUCCAAUCCAUUUGGGUAUCUCCCCCGAAAACCUGUUAUUUCCAAGAUCAAGGGAGUACAACCCUGUGCAGUUUCGUAAGCUUGGAAAGGGUUCCCCAGAAAGAUUGUUGUCACCCAAUAUCAACUGAGUAAGUGAAGAUUUUGAACACAUCCAACUCGGAAUCCCACCAGACAUUUUGUUCUUGGAUAGAUCUACAGUGUCAAGCCAUGGCAAAUCAUUCCAAUUCUUUGGAAUCUUUCCAGAUAAAUGAUUGUUUGAGAGAUUAAUUACUCCCAAAUACUUCAGUUUACUAAUUGAUGAAGGAAUGCUGCCAUUUAACAAGUUACAAGAAACAUCAAGGAUUUCCAAGCUUGAUAAUUCCCCGAUGUUCAAGGGAAUUGGACCAGAAAAUGAAUUGUUUCCCAGAUACAAAGAUCCCACAUUAAGUCGAAGUGGGAGUGGGCCCCCCAAGUGGUUGAAACUUAAAUCCACCAAUGCGUCUUGGCUAAAGGAUGAUGAGUUGGGAAGCGUUCCAUACAAUUGGUUUCUAGAAAGAUCUAACCACGAAAAAUCUUGUUUCCAAAGCCAUUCGGGUAUUGCAUCUGAAAUCCCCACAUUUUUUAGAAUCAUAAAUCCAAGUCUCUUUUGAGUUCUAAGCCAGUUGGGGAACUUGAGAGAUACAUGGCAGUUGUAAACCUCGAUAGAUUCGAGACUGAAGGGAGGAAUCCAUUCAGGUCUCAAAUGAAAACGGAGAGACUGGUUUUUGGGUGAUACGAGUAAUGAGAAUUCUGUCAGUUUAGUAAGAUUACUGAAAUGAAUUUCAGAUAUUACCCCUUCCCAAGAAUUCCAAUCAAGAUACAACUCAGUUAGCUCUCUAAGUUGUCCGAUACUUUCUGGAAUAGUCCCAUUCAUUAGAUUGUUUGACAAGUGAAGUCUCUUCAUCCGCAGCAAGUUUCCAAUCCAUGUUGGAAUUGGACCUGAGAUGAAGUUUUCAAUCAGAUAAAGAAUCUCUAAGUUGGUAAGGUGUUGAAUUGAAUUGGGGAAGGGACCAACAAAACUAUUGUUCAUCAAGUUCAGGUACUUUAAAUUCUUAAAGAGCCCUAAUGAAUCUGGCAACUGACCACCGAAUUGAUUAUAACCCAAGUUUAACCAUUCCAAGGAAUUAUUAGUGUAUGUUGAUAAACCAUUCACCAAUUCAAUUGCUUCACUUCCAAUAUAAUUGAAUGAGAGAUCUAAGGUCACCAAGUUGCGAAGGCUUCCCAAGUUAACACGGGGAAUCGGACCUUUAAUUGUAGCACCAUUUAAAUAAAGAUCCAUAAGGGUACUGAUAUUAAACAACCAGCCAGGCAAAGUAGUGUUGAAAUUGUUGUUGGAGAGAUCAAUAAGCGAAACAGAAGUCAAAUUAACAAACGGAUUGGAGUACUGAGGGAAGUGACUAAGAUGACAACCGGACAAAUGUAAUUCUAACAAAAAUGGAAGCAUGUUUACAGCUUGCAUCCAAUUUGUGGUUGCUUUACUAAGGUCCACAUACGCCAGAUCAAGGUAUUUUAAAGAAGAAAGACCAGAAAGCCAAUUUAAAUUAGAAACCCUCAUUGGAUAAUCUCCUCCCAAAAGAUCAAGAUAACGUAACUGUGAUAAAUUUCCAAGAUGAGGAGGAAUCAUCCCACCAAAUCGUGCAUUAGAGAGAUUAAGGUAUCUCAACCUUUCAAAUGAGCCCAAGAAAUUUGGAAUUGGAAUUCCUUGAAAAUCAUUAAGACUUAGGUCCAGGUAAGUUAAAUGUUUCAAGUCAAGUAAGGAACUACUUAUCUCACCACCCAAACGUGAGAAGCCACCACCCAAACGUGAGAAGUCACCACCAGAUUUGAGGUCAACCUUGACAACAUGCCCUGUUUGGUUGUUGCAAUCCACACCUUUCCACUUGCAGCAAUCUGCACCAACCCAGGAAGAAAGCCUACCUGAAGGAUCUUUCAGUCCAUUUUUGAAUUCAAGAAGCGCUUUCCGCUCUACCUCAAUGCAGCCCUUGUUCAUACCACCAUCAAUGGAAUUGAUAAUGGUAGCUUGAGCUAGGAGAAGCUCGAGAAACAGAGAAAGGAGAAAAAGAGUAAGAAGUAGAAGGGUGGUUUUCCAACUUGCCAUUUGAUGAAUGCAAAGUUGCAAAGUUAUUAGUGGGUGUUAUAUAAAUAAUAAGAUUGGAGUCUUUGGUCUAAUUUAGUCAACUAUUUUAAGUCUUUUGGCCGCCAUAAAUAUAGAAGAAAUUAUCAAGUUCAAUCACAAUCGGAUCACAUAUCUCUUCUAUCCCUGAGUAAAUUAAUUCAAGACAUUAAUUACCAAGUUUUUGGUCCAAAGAAAAAAAGAAUUUUUUUUAUUCCUAAUUUACACUCAUCUAAUUAUUAACUGGAAUAAAAAAUUUCAAUUAAUUAAAAAAAUAAAAUUUAGAUUUUAAUAUUUUUCCCAAAUUCAAAAUUCAAAAAUUAAUAAAUUAAUCUCAACUAUGUUAUUCAUAAAUCCCAAGAUAGGUUACAUAAAAAUAAGUUUUAACUAAGAAAAUUUCUAACAUUUUAUUAACUACCAAGUAUAAUUAGAAAUCCUAAUUAUUAUGUAAUUAUCAAUUUUCUACUAAUUAUAUAAUUAAUUAUUAUGCAAUUUUAUUAUGCUAAUAAAUUAUGAUAUUUUGGUAUAUUUUAAAAUAUAUUAAAUUACCAUUUUUAUAUUAUUAAUUUUAAAAUCAAAAUAAAAAAUAUAAUAACUAAUUUUUAGAUAUUUUAACAUGUAAACAUAAAUAAGUAUAACAUUUCAAACAUUAAUAAAAACACAAGCAAUUUAACACUUAACAAUAUUUAUAUAAUAAUAAGAAAUAAACAACUUAAACACUUAAUCAGUCUACUAUAUUUAAGUCAAAGUUAUGCCUAUUCAAAUUUCAAACAAAAAAUAAUUAAAUACCACCUUACACUUAUUAUGCAUUACUCAAGCCAUUUAUUUUCAAUAAAUAUAUUUUUUCAAAUAAUUUUCAUAAUAUUUUAUUUUCGUUUAUAGGCUACAAUCAACAUGGAGGAGGAAGCUUCAAGUAGCUUUCUUCAAUUAUUUAAAGUUAGUGACUAUCCAUAGAAGAAAAUUUUGACACGAAUGUAAAAAGAAAAACAAUUUUCACACAAGUCUAAAAAUGUCUUUUAGAGAAACUAUUAAAACAUUAUUUGAAUUUCUCCUCUUGAUUGUUGACUUCAAGGACUUUUGUGACAUGUUGACUGUUGACUGAAACAAAAUCCUUGUUUAUUUGGUGUGAGUUAGGAAAAAAAAAAAGGAAGUUAUAUUUUUUUUAAUGAAAAAAUUUAUUUUUUCUAAAUAAAAAAAUUCUUUUUUUUUUUUAAAUAAAAAAUUUCCUUAUUUAACCAAACCGAUUUUAACCAAUUCAUUGUAGCCUGAUUAGUUCAGUUUUUCAUUUAAAGACGUUUGGUUUAGCUUGAAAAAAAAAAAAAAAAAAAACAAACAAAAACAAAAACAAGGUUAAAUAUUAAGUAUUUAGGUCAUUGUUUUUUUUAUUAAUGCUAAAUAUUUUUAAGUGUUAAAUUGCUUGUUUUUAGUAAUGUAUAAAGGCUUAAACUUAUUUAUUUUUACACAUUAAAAAUAACUAUAAAAUUAGUUGUUGUUAUUAUUAUUAUUUUAAAAUUAAUAAUUUAAGAAAUAGUAAUUUAAUAUAUUUACAACUAUCUCAAAACAUUAUAAUUCAUUACCAUAACAAAAAUUAUAUAAUAAUUAAUUAUGUAAUUUAUAGAAAAUUAAUAAUUAGAUCAUUAUUAGGAUUUUUAGUUAUGCUUGGUUGUUAAGAAAAUGUUAAAAAAUUUCUAAGUUAAAAUUUAUUUUUAUAUAAUAUAUAUUCUGAUUUAAGAAUAUUGUUGAGAUUAAUUUUUUUUUUCUUUUAAAUUUGGGAAAAAUAAGAAAGACUAAAAUUUUAGUUUUCAAAAUUAAUUGGAAUUUUUUUUAUUCUAAUUAAUAAUGACAUGAACGAACCCCAAUUUUUUUAUAAUGACUAAUUAUGCAAAGUGUAGAAAAAUAAUAAUUAGAUAAUUAUUAGGAUUUCUAAUUAUGCUUGGUUGUUAAAAAAUGUUAAAAAAUUUAUAUGUUAAAACUUAUUUUUAUAUAACUAUCUUCAAAUUUAUGAAUAUUGUUGAAAUUAAUGUAUUAAUUUUUAUUUUUAAUUUGGGAAAAAUGUAAAAAUCUAAAUUUUAUUUUUUAAAUUAAUUAGAUUUUUUUUAUUCUAGUUAAUUAUUAAAUGAGGGUAAAUUAGAAAUCUAAGUUCAAGGACAUUAGUCAACCAAACUGACUUCAAACCUAACCAAUCCAAUCUUAUUACUUUUUAUUUCCAUUUAAAGAUGUUUGUUUCUAUUAAAAAAAAAUGAUUACAUUGGUUUAGUGUUCAUGAAGCAAUCAAAGCUAAACCAACCGAAUUUAUCUAUUAUUUAUAAAUAAAAAUAAAAAUAAAAACGAUUACAUUGGUUCGGUAUUCAUUUCAAAACAACGAAUCAAUAGAAAUCGAUCUAAUCGAACCUAUCUAUUAUAUAUUCGACUUAAAAGGUGCAAAAUUUGAAGUUAUUUUUCGACUUCAUAUUUUGCUUCUCAUAAUUUAUUAUAAAUUUAUGAAGUUAUUUUUUAGUUGUCAUAUUUUUUUAAAAUAUUUUAUUUUUUCAAAAUAAAUUCACUAAAUAUUAUAUCACAUGUAUUUGUGGUUCACUAAAUUUUUAAUAAUCAAAUUAAUAAAUUUGUAAAAGAAAAAUAUUAUAUUUUCUCCAUUUUGUUCACUUGAUAAACAUAUCUACCAAAAUGUCAAGCGGAUGUUUGAAAUUUACCUCUAUUUUUUUUGUUGUGUAAUAUUUGGUUGAUUAUAUUUAUAAAGCAUUAUAAAUCCCAAGAAAGUACACAUAGUCCUAAAUUAUUAUGAAUGAAAUAAAAUUAUUAAUUUAAAUUUAGUCUUUAUAUUAAAAAGUUAAAAUAAGUGAAAUGAGUUUAAAAUAGUCUAUAAAAAUAAUUUAUUGAUUUUAAAUCUAUGUUAUAUUUUCCUUCAUUUUUUAUUUUUAUUUUUAUUUUUUGUAUUUUUUCCCUUGUAUUUCCCCCAAAAUUUUGUCCAAACCAAACAUAAACUUGGAAAAUAUGUCAAAUCAAUACUAGUGUUUGAGACUUAAGAAAUUUUUUUAAAAGGAUUGGAUCAAGGUUUAAUCACGAGUACACCACACAUAGCCCUUUUGUCCAUAAGUAAAUUAAUUUAAGAUAUUUUAUUUAUUAAUAUAAUUAUCAAGCUUUUGAAACAUGAAGUUGUUGUUCAUGGAAAGAAAAAGAAAAAGUAUUUUAUUUAUUUAUUUUGCCUAACACACAUAGACUAAGAACUUUUCUUCGAUUAAAAGUCAAGGAAGUCAUUGUGAACAAUUACCAAGAAAAGAAAUUCAAAUAAUGCUUUAAUGAAUGGUGUAUAUAUUUUCUCUAAAAUGCAUUUUUAGACUCCUACUACAAGUUUUUCUCGCAAAAACAAAAAAUAAAAAAUAAAGCUUCAUUUUUUUGCCUAACUCACACGCAAUAGACUAAGGACUUUGUUUCAGUCAAGAGUCAACAUGUCACAAAAGUCGGUGAAUUUAUUGUCUAAAGAAAAUAAUAAAUAAUACUUUAACGUAUGAUGUACAUAUUUUCUCCAAAAGGCAUUUAUAGACUCAUACAAUUUUCUCCUAUCGACCAUUUACCAACUUCAAUUAAUUGAAGAAAGUUAUGUGAAUGAUGGAACUUCCUACUCCAUGUUAAGUGAUAUGGCCUAUCAUGAAAAUUAUUUAAAAUUUUAUAUAUAUUCAAUUAUUUAUUAUUAUUAUUAUUAUUAUUAUUAUACAUGAAAACUGCAUUACAAGUCCAUGCCUUUUGGAAAAAUGUUUAUUAUUAUUACAAAAUAAACAUUUUGUGACGAUUGAUUAUGUAAUAGGUUAACAUUUAUUUUUAUGUAAUGUAUCUUUUGAUUUAUGAAUUUGUAAUUGAAAUUUAAUUUUCAUAUCUGGUGGGAGUGCCAGUCACAAAACAAAAAAGUGAUGAAGACCUUUCGGCCCUUCAUGGGCCAUGUAUCACAAGCAUAUGAGCCAAUCAUGGACCCCAUCCUGUCCUCAACCUCAACUGUUGCUAUAAAUCUAAAUACUGAUGUAGAACCCUAUCCGAAAAUGGUCCAUUCGAUAGGCAUUAGGCACCUACCACAAGAAAAUUAAGGAAAACAAAAAAUAAAAAAUAAAAAAUGAAGCUUCAUUUUUUUGCCUAACUCACACGCAAUAGACUAGUGACUUUGUUUCAGUCAAGAGUCAACAUGUCCCAAAAGUCUUUAAAGUCAUUGUCUAAGGAAAAUAAUCACAAAAAUAAUAAAUAGUAUUAAUAUAAGAUGUUAAUAUCAUAUGUAUAUAUUUUCUUCAAAAGGCAUUUCUAGACUUCUACAAUUUUCUCGGACCACUUAACAACUUCAAUUAAUUGAAGAAAGUAUUAUUAUUAUUAUUAAGGGUUGAAAAAAUGCAUAGCAAGUCUAUGUGGUAUUUAUUUAUUUUUGUCUAAAGUAUGAAUAAACCUAAAUUAUUAUUUUUUAUUUUAAUUCUAAAAUUAAUAAUUUAAGAAAUAGUAAUUUAAUAUAUUAACAAAUAUAUCAAAAUUCUUAAUUUAUUACCAUAAUAAAAAAUUUCUAAAAAUUAAUUAUGUAAUUGGUAGAAAAUUUAUAAUUAGAUAAUGAUUAGGAUUUUUAUUUAUGUUUGGUUGUUAAGAAACUAUUAGAAGUUUUCUAAGCUAAAACUUAUUUUUAUGUAAUGUAUUUUAUGAUUUAAUGAAUGGUGUUGAGAUUAAUUUGUUAACUUUUUAUUUUUAAUUUGGGAAAAAAUUAAAUAUUAAUUUUGGAAAUUAAACAAUGGAUAAUAUAAUGAUAGAAUAAUAUUAUUUUUCAAAUAGUUUUCUUUCAAAUAGAAUAAUAUAAAAUUAAUUUAAUAUAUGAUAGAAUAAUAUAAAAUUAAUUUAAUUUUCGAGAUUUCAAUUUUCAAAUAAAUUUCAAAACUUUAGUUUUCUUUCAAAUAGUUUUAAUUCUACUCCAGUUUUUAUUUUUAUUUUUAUUUUUAAUUCUACCACUUUUCAUCAUUUAUUAGGGUUUUAGGUCACAAAAAAUCCUGAUUUUAAUAAUUUUGCUGUCAUUUUCAUUUUGGCAUGCACUUGUACAAAUUUUCUUCGAUUUUCAAAUAAUUUUCUGUUUCUCUUAAUUUUAAGUAAACAAGAAUGAUUUUUUCAUAAUUCCAAAAUAAUGGAAUUUGUAAGACUAAUUUAUGCAAGAUAAAUUAGGCUUUGGUGGGGGCCCAACAUUCUUAACAUUUCUUUCGAAAAUAAUUCAAGUGAAUUUUAUGAUUAAUAUUAUUUGAUUUUGAUUGGUUUUGUGUGAGAUAUUUUACACUUAUCAUUACGCACUAACCUUGUUUCAUAAUAGUGCUUUAUUACCGGUUGCCAAGGUACGAUCUCACCCCUACUUUGCUUAUUUUUAUACAUGAUUUGUUUUAUUAUUUGAUCAUUUCAUUGAUAUCCAUUGAUUUCUUUAUCAAUUGUCACAUUUCUCACCUUAUUUAGUAGAUGCCUGUUUUUAGGGACUUAGAGGGGUGCUACGGUUUUUUACCGUACCUUCCCAAUAAGUAACUUGACCCCCGAACCCGACUCGGUUUUUCAUAGACUUGUUUUUCCUUCAGGAGUCACACUUAGAGUUUUUCUUUUUUAGUUUAUUUUUCCCUUUAAAAAAAAUUAAAAUAAGUGGCGACUCCAAUUAUUUAAAAAAAAAAAAAUCAAAUUUUUACCAAAUAAAAUAAAAAAAUGAGUUUCACCAUGGAGUGGGAACGCAUCAUGUGAAAUACGGGAUCCACAUAUAGGUUUUUAAACUAUUUCAAAUCUCGGUACCAGUUAUGAAUGUAGGAGAAAUGAAGACCUGUAUGGGCCAUCUUCUCGUGUAAAUAAAAAUAAAACCAGGAUAAUGAAAAAUAAAUCAUUCAUAUAGAAUAAACUUCAAUUCACCAAAUUAAUAAUUAAUAAAUGAUUAAAAUGGGAAAAAAAUAUCUAAUCUAAAUCAGUAGGAUGGGUGUUUAAGACACUAAUUUUCUUUCUAUUAGAUUCAGUUCCAAUCUAACUCAAGGUUAAUAUAUUUUUAAUUUUGAAAAAGUAUAUGAUGCACAAUAAUCUAAAGAAAUAAUUAUAUUUUCUCCAUUUUUUUUUUUUUGUUUUUGGGUCCUAAUGAAACCUCACGAGAGAAAACUUUAUAGGGUUGUAAAAGCAAAAUAAAUCAAAGCUCACAUGUUCAAAGUCAUUUCAUUUCAUACCUUAGUUGUUGCAAUAAAUGGUGUAUAAAUACGUCGUAAUACUUAACAUGAAGUAGGAAGUUUCAUGGACAAUGACUUCAAGGACUUUUGUGACAUCUUGACUCCUAACCAAAACAAAGUUCUUAGUCUAUUCCGUGUAUGUUAGGCAAAAUAAAUAAAUAAAAUAACUUUUUCUUCUUCUUUGGAUGGACAGUAACUUCAUGUUUCAAACACUAGAUAAUUAAUAUCUUGAAUUAACUUUCUUAUGAAUACAAGGGGUGAUCAUGAUUGAACCUUGAUCCAAUCCUUUAUAAAGAAUUUCUAAAUCUCAAACACUAGUAUUGGUCUAACAUAUUUUUUAAGAUUAUAUUUGGUUCCAAAAAAAUUUGAGGGAAAUACAAGGGAAAGAAAAUAAAGAAAAAAUAAAAUAAAAUGAAAAAAAAGUGAAAGAAAAUACAAUAUAGAUUUAAAGUCAAUAAAUUAUUUUUUUAUACUACUUCAAACUCAUUUAGCUUAUUUUAACUUUUUAAAAUUAAGAUUAAAUAAUUUUAAAAUACAUAAAAUUUUAAUUAAUUUUAAUUUAUUAUAUUUUCUUUGAUAUUUUCUAUAAUACACAAUUAAAUAUAUAAAAAUUAUUUUCUGUGUAUGAAUAAAAUGGAGAAAAUAUGAUUCUUUGUUUAGAUUAUUGUGCAUCAUAUGUUUUCUAAAAUUAAAAAAUAUAUGAACCUGAGGAUUGGAACUGAAUCCAAUGGAAAUGAUACCAUUAUUUGAUUGAUCAUAUCUAAUAUAAAGGAAAGUUAAAUAUCAUGAAAAUUAUUUAAAAAUUUAUACAUAUUCAAAUUCUUCCUAAUGGCUAGAAAAAUACAUAACAAAUAUAAGGCGGUGUUUUUUCUUUUUCUUUUUUGUUUAUAAUCUAAAUAAUUAUGUAUUUAACUUAAUCUAAUAAAGUCGAACGUUAUUGGCAUUUUAGCUUGUUUAGUUUUUAUUAUAAAUGUUGUUAAGUGUCAAAUUUUUUGUUUUUAUUAAUGUCUACAGUGUUAAACUUAUUCUUAUGUGUUAAAAAAUCUACAAAAUUAAUUAUCAUAUUUUUAUUUUUAUUUUAAAAUUAAUAAUUUUGAAAAAUAGUAAUUUAAUAUAUUUUCAAAUAUAUCAAAAUAUCACAAUAAUAAACAUUUUGUAAUGAUUGAUUAUGUAAUAGGUUAACAUUUAUUUUUGUGUAAUGUAUCUUUUGAUUUAUGAGUUUUUAAUUGAAAUUUAUUUUUGUAAUGUAUCUUUUGAUUUAUGAAUUUGUAAUUGAAAUUUAAUUUUCAUAUAUGGUGGGAGUGCCAGUCACAAAACAAAAAAGUGAUGAAGACCUUUCGGCCCUUCAUGGGCCAUGUAUCACAAGCAUAUGAGCCAAUCAUGUACCCCAUCCUGUCCUCAACUUUAAGUUUAACCGUGGCUAUAAAUCUAAAUACUGUUGUAGAACCCUAUCUGAAAAAGUCCAUUCGAUAGGCAUUAGGCACCUACCACAAGAAAAUUAAUGAAAACAAAAAAUAAAAAAUAAAAAAUGAAGCUUCAUUUUUUUUGCUUAACUCACACGCAAUAAACUAGUGACUUUGUUUCAGUCAAGAAUCAACAUGUCACAAAAGUCUUUAAAGUCAUUGUCUAAGGAAAAUAAUUACAAAAUAAUAAAUAAUACUUUAAUAUAAGAUGUUAAUAUCAUAUGUAUAUAUUUUCUUCAAAAGGCAUUUCUAGACUUCUACAAUUUUCUCGGACCACUUAACAACUUCAAUUAAUUGAAGAAAGUAUUAUUAUUAUUAUAAAGGAUUAAAAAAAAUGUAUAACAAGUCUAUGUGGUAUUUAUUUAUUUUUGUCUAAAAUCUGAAUAAACCUAAAUUAUUAUUUUUUUAAUUUUAAUUCUAAAAUUAAUAAUUUAAGAAAUAGUAAUUUAAUAUUUUUAAAAAUAUAUCAAAAUUCUUAAUUUAUUACCAUAAUAAACAUUUUUCUAACAAUUAAUUAUGAAAUUAGUAGAAAAUUUAUAAUUAGAUAAUGAUUAUAAUUUUUAUUUAUGUUUGGUUGUUAAGAAACUAUUAGAAUUUUUCUAAGCUAAAACUUAUUUUUAUGUAAUGUAUUUUUCUGAUUUAUGAACAUUGUUGAGAUUAAUUUGUUAACUUUUUAUUUUUAAUUUGGGAAAAAAAUAAAUAUUAAUUUUGGAAAUUAAACAAUGGAUAAUAUAAUGAUAGAAUAAUAUUUUCUCCAUUGUGUUUAUUUAAUAGGUAGUUUCACAAAAUAUAUUGGACUUGUAUUUGAUAUUUAUCAAUUUUUUCAAAUGAUUGGAUUGAUUUGAUGAUAUAUAUUACAUACUCUUCUAUUCAUGAGUAAAUCAAAAGAAUGAUAAAAAUUACCAAGUUUUUCAAACAUCAAGCCAUUGCCGAAAGGGGCAAAAAAAAAAAAAAAAAUCAUUUUUUAUUUUUUGUCUACCUUAGACGACAUAGACUAAGCACUUUGUAUAAGUCAAUAAUUAAGAUGUCAUCAAAGUCCUUCAAGAAAUGUCCAAGGAAAUUUAAAAAAUCAUGAAAAAAAAGUUAUAAAUGAUGUUUUAAUGUAUUAUAUACAUAUUCUCUUUAAAAGGCAAUUUUAAACUCCUCUUAGAAUUUGCUAUUAUGGAAUUCUUUUUCCUUUUUCGUAUCUCAAUUUCAAUACAUUUUAAUUUAACUUAAAUUUAAAUAGUAUGAAAUAUUAAGUGAUUUGUUUUCAUUUUUUUUUCUUUGACUUAAUUCUUAAAAAAUAUUGUUUUAAUAUUAAAGUCAUUUUAAAGAUCGUUUAUUUGUUUAAUUUAUUAUUUUUUAAGACAAUUUGAUCUUAAUAAAAAAAAACUAAUUUAUUGUUUUUCUUUUAUCUUAAAUUUUAAAUUAACUUGUUUUAAGACUUAAGACUUAAGUUAAAAUUAAAAUUAAAAAAAAAAAUAAACCGUUAUAUUUAGUUAUAAAAACAAAUUAAGAAAAAUGAUUUUCUAUUGAUUAGUUUCAUUAUGGAAAUACAAAUAUAUAUAUAUAAUAAAAAUUAAUUAAAAUUUUAUACAUUUUAAAAUUAUUUAAUAAAAAAUAAAUAAAAUGGUUCCAAAAAACAUAUUAAAAUAAUUUAUUUACUUUAAUUUUUUUUUCCUUCAUUUUUUUUUAUCUUUCAUCUAUUUUUCUUCAUUUCUUUCCCUCACUUAUUUCCUCAAAAUUUUAAAUUUAUUUAACCAUUUUAAGUCUUCGUGCCAAUGCUAGUCAUAAACAAACAAUUGAUGAAGACCUUUCAGCCCUUCGGCCCAUGUAUGAUGUAUCACAAGAAUAUAUGAGUUAAUCAUGGACCCCAUCCUGUCCUCAACUUCAACUGUUGCUAUAAAUCUAAAUACUGAUGUAGAACCCUAUCUCAAAAUGGUCCGUUCGAUAGGCACCUACCACAAGACAAUUAAUCAAAACUACAAUAAUGAAAAAAAAUAGAAAAUAAAGCUUGAUUUUUUUGCCUAACUCACACGCAAUAGAUUAAGAACUUUGUUUAAGUCAAGAGUCAACAUGUAACAAAAGUCCUUGAAGUCAUUGUCUAAGGAAAAUAAUCACAAAAUAAUAAAUAAUACUUUAAGAUAUGAUGUAUAUAUUUUCUUCAAAAUGCAUUUCUAGACUAUUACAAUUUUCUUCCAUGAAUCACUUACUAACCUCAAUUAAUUGAAGAAAGCUACAUGAAUGAUGGAACUCCAUGUUAAGUGAUACAUAAAGUAAAAUAUAAUGACAAAUAAAUAAAAAAACGAAUAAAAUAAAGUAAAAUAAUAAAAUAAAUAAAUAAAUAAUCAUAUGAAAGAUGAAUAAAUAAAAUAAUAAAAUUAGGUUAAUAAACAAAUUAAACAAAGCGCAAAAUCCAAUAAUAUGACACGAAUUUUGAUGCUUUCAGCUUUACAAACAUGCUGCUAAAGACUCUGUUCUCCACAUGAUCAGUCUCAUCUCUCUUUCUCCCACUCGAAGCCGUCGGACCCGUACUGUGCCUAGGUCGCUUCGGAUCCGUGAUGGGGUUCAGAGUUUCUUGCCGAAAACCUCCCCUGCCACCGUUAGUGAAGCCUAAGAAAGGCUUUCUUGUGAGAUGAAACUCGGUUCUUCUGUUGAACAAGGACUUAGCUGAAGACGUGUGCGACGAAGCUAAGAGACCAUUUUCCUAAGCAUUGGCUUAUGGGAAGACCAUUCAGAUGAGUGUAUGAGUUUAAUGGAUGUGAGGAAUGGGAAUAUGAGUGAUAGAGCAGGCACCUAGGGCAAGUUAUUAAUGGCGGGUAUGAGGGAUGGGGAUGUGUGUGGUGGAGCAAAUAAGGAGUGGAGGAUGAAACCUGGUAGUGUUGAGGAACUGAACCUGAGUAGUGUCGGGUGGAAAAUAUGGAGCUGGGUUGGGUAAAAUUGAUGAGUAUUUUGGCUUGGGAUUUGGGUCUGAUAGAGAGGCUUUGUAAAAGUGGCCAUGCAGGAGUUAUUCACAUGCUUAUGAAUGGUGGGGGAGGGGGAGGAAACUCAAACCAGAUUUGAAAAUAAGAACAAAUUAUUCCCAAGCCAAAAGCCAAAGUAAAAAUAAAUAAAUAAACCAACAACAGCACACCUAUGAAUGGCUCAGAAAUCCAAUAUAUUCAAACACAUAAUAUGAUGUUCAUGCUUAGCAAACAAUCCACAAAAAGAAAUAGCUAUCAAAAUACUAAAAAAAACUCCACAGAAACCGAGAACUCUGAUCAGUUUAUUGUCCUCCCAUCCAUCUAUAUAUAUAUAUGUAUAUAUCCUAUACACGGAGUCUAAAUUCCUAAAUUGUAUAUGGUAACAUUAACAUUUCCUAUAUGUACAACCAAUUUCAUUCCUAAUUUGUAUAUGGUAACAUUAACAUCCCCCCUCAAAUUGAUGUUGGUAAGUCAACUAGCAACAAUUUGCCAACAAGAAUUGAUGUCGCCGUCGAGUCAAAGCUUUAGUGAAGAUAUUAGCCACUUGGAGAUCAGAAGAGAUGUGAGGAAGAGAUAUCACCCGACUUUCCAAGGUGUCUCGAAUAGAAUGACAAUCAACCUCAAUGUGCUUGGUACGUACAUGAAAAAUGGGAUUGGUGCCAAUCUGAAUAGCACUAGUGUUAUCAGCAUGAAGAGGUGUAGAAGUAGUCUGAGGAAACCCAAGCUCCUUAAGAAGACCGCAUAGCCAUACAAUUUCAGAACAAGUAGUAGACAUGGCAUGAUACUCGGCCUCAAUAGAGGAUUUAGAAACACAAUCUUGUUUCUUACAUCUCCAAGAAAUUAAGGCAUCACCUAAAAACAUACACCAACCCAUAGUAGAUCGACGUGUAUUUGGACACCCACCCCAAUUAGCAUCACUAUAGGCAACAAGUUGAAGAAAUGAGCCGGUAGGAAAGAACAACCCACGAGUAGGUGAACCUUGAAGAUAGCGGAUGAUGCUUUGAACUGCAGCAAGAUGGAGAUGCCGAGGAGAAGUCAUAAAUUGACUGACCUGAUGAACAGCAUAGGAGAUAUCAGGUCGAGUAGUGAUCAAGUAGAUAAGAUUCCCAACUAGGCGCUGAUAGAGAGUAAGACCAUCCAGAAGGUCCCCUUUAUCUUUCCUAUAUUUGACAUUUACCUCCAUAGGAGUAUCAACAGAAGAAGUGUCUUCCAAACCAGCCAAAGUGAUAAGAUCUUGAAUAUACUUAUGCUGGUUCACGAAAAUACCAUUGGCCUGAUGAUGAACUUCCAAUCCUAAGAAGUAUGUGAGUUGUCCAAGAUCUUUCAUAUGGAAAGUUGUAUGUAACAACUGCUGAAGCUUAGUAAUCAAACUACAGUCAGUGCUAGUAAUGAUAAUAUCAUCCACAUAAACCAAGAGAAUGACUAUACUCGACGCAGACUUGUGGAAGAAGAAGGAAUAAUCAUAUUGACUUUAGGUAAAGCUGAAGGAAAGAAUUGUAUUGCGAAACUUCUCAAACCAAGCUCGGGGCGCCUACUUGAGCCCAUACAAAGAAUGAUUUAGCUUACAAACAUCAUGAGGAGAAGAAUUAGUCAUACUAGAGGAAAGCUUCAUGUAAAUCUCUUUUUAGAGAUCACCAUGAAGAAAAGCAUUCUUCACAUCCAUCUGAUGUAGUUGCCAUGACUGUGAAGCGACAAUAGCUAAGAUGGUUUGAACCGUGGUCAUUUUGGCAACAGGAGCAAAUGUCUCCUCAUAAUCAACCCCAUAUUCCUGCUUGUUACUCAAAGCUACGAGACGAGCUUUAUACCGGUCCAAAGAACCAUCAGAACGAAGUUUUACAGAGAAAACCCAUUUACUCCCAAUAGGUUUGACUGUAGGAGGACAAGGAACAAUAUCCCAAGUAUGAUUCUCCUUAAGUUCUUGAAGUUUUGCUUGCAUUGCAUUUUGCCAACACUCAUGUUCCAUGGCCUGUUUGUAGCAAGAGGGAAUAGAAAUAGUGGAUAAAGUAGCAACAAGAGAGACAGGAGAGAAGAAUCCAUACCAAUCAGGGGGUCGAGAAAGACGAGUAGACCGACGAAGAGUGGUGGAAGCAGAAUUAGGAUUAGGCGUCGGGUCAAGAUUGGAAGGGGGCACAAAGGAAGUGGAAUUGGACUCAUGUCGACUACGUCUUUCAUACCUAAAACCAGGUUUGAGCCCUUCCACAAUUGUUGGGGAUUCAGAAAAACUAGGCAGAAGGGAUAUUGAUGCAGAUGGCAGCUCAACAUGAGAUGGAAAGAAAUAUUGAUUUUCAAAGAAAAUUACAUUUCGGGAAACUCGUAUACGACGAGCAUGUGGAUCAUAACAAACAUAACCCUUGUGAAGGAUAGCAUAACCAAGAAAAACACACUUAAUAGACUGAACAGUAAGUUUAUGUCGUUCAUGAGUAGGUAGAUGCACAAAACAAACACAACCAAAUGUACGAAGAUCAGAAUAUAAAGAAGAAUGACCAAACAACUUAGAGAAAGGAGAAACAUGAUUUAACAUAGGAGAGGGUAAGCAAUUGAUCAAAUGAACUGCAGUAGAAAGUGCUUCACACCAAAAACGAGGAGGAAUCGAUGAAUCAAGUAAAAGAGUUUUUACCACAUCAAGAAGGUGGUGAUUUUUCCUCUCAGCAACAACGUUUUGUUGUGGUGUCGAAGGACAAGAACGCUGAGAGAUGAUCCCUUUGCUUUGAAGAAAGUCCUGAAGCUCAUUAGACAUGUAUUCUCCGCCAGAAUCAGAGCACAAGACCUUGAUGUUGGCAGAGAAUUGAGUCUCAAUAAGUGCAAGAAAUCGCUUAAAGACUGAAAAAACUUUAGCCUUAGCUCGGAGAAAGUAAACCCAAGUAAAGCGACUAAAGUCAUCAAUGAAAAUAACAAAGUACUUGUCAUGUGCAUGAGAAACAAUAGGUGCAAUCCCCCAAACAUCACUAUGUAUAAUAUUAAAACAUUGUGAGGCAUGAGAUGUAGAAUGAGGAAAAGGUAGAACUUUACUUUUGCUAAGUUUGCAUGAUGUACAAUCGAAAGAAAGAUCAAGAGAAGAACAUACUUUAAUUCCCAAUAAUCCAUAAUUAAACAAAGUACGAAGUACAUUAGAGUUUGGGUGGCCAAGAUGUCUAUGCCACAUCUUAUGUCCAGAACCAACAACAUUACAUGCAAAGGAAAGUAAAAGAAAACUAGGAAUAAUAGUGGAAGUAGAAACAUGAAGAGGAAAGAGUCGUCCCACUUUAGGCCCCUUUGCGAUUAUCUUCCCGGACACUUGAUCCUGCAUAACACAACCAGAACGGGAGAAAUUGACAUUACAAUUAUUAUCAACCAAUUGACGAACAGAAAGAAGAUUUGUGGAGAGGUUAGGAGACACAAAAACAUCAGUUAAGGAAGAGGAAAAAUCACCAACAACACUGAUAGGCAGAGAACUACCAUCAGUAGUGUUAAUUUUCAAAUUUCCAUCAUAAUUUCUGACAUUGGAAAGAUAAAGAACAAUAUUCGUCAUAUGGUUAGAAGCUCUAGAGUCAAAAUACCAUGGCUUAGAAGAAAUCGUAUGAUUACCUGAGAGCCUAAAACAGAAAAGCAGAAAUGAUCAUUUGUUGUACCAUUUCAGGAGUGAGUGUGUUCGGGUUUGCUAAGGCUGUAGGAGCAAGAAUAGGAACAACCAAAGAGGCAGUUGGCAAUGCAGUAGAACUAGAGGCACCGAUGGAGACAUGAUAAGCAGUACCCUGCUUUCUUUCAGGCCGAAUGGGAUAAGCAGAGAUGAUAUGACCUUGUUUCUUGCAGUAGUUACAAAACUUCUUGGGACAAUCCCGAGCAAUGUGACCAAAAUCUUUACAACUAAAGCACUGGACAGCCCGCAUAUCUCAACCCUUAUUUUGCCCUUGUGCUGCAUAAGCUACAGAAACGGGUGCACUAACAUUAGCCCGAUGUUCCAUGGUAGCUUGAGUUACAAUACGCUGCUCCUCACGCAAAAGUUCACUCAAGCAGACAUCUAGAGAUGGUACAGGAUGACGAUUCAUCAGAUUAGACUGUGCAAUUUCAAAGUCGGGUCGUAGCUUUAUCAAGAAUUGAUAUCUCUUGCUGGUUGUAUGCAUUGCUUGGACAGCAGAGAGAGCUGUAGCGGGAACAUUAGCAUAAACAAUGUCGGAAUAAUCAGUCCAAAGAGUUUGAAAACCAGAAAAAUAUUCCUCAAUUGAGAGACUUCCUUGUGUGAAAUUAGCCAUCUCAUACUAUAAUUGAAAACUCCUAGCAGAGUUGUCUUGAUUGUAAACCGUGUGGAGAUAAUUCCACAUAGCAGCAGCAGUUUUAUAAGGCCUCAGGUUGAGAACAAGGUGAAGUUCAACUGAGCUAAGGAUCUAGGUCAUAACCCGAGCAUCCUUAAUUUCCUACUUGGACAAAGCCUCGGUAUCACGAGGUGCAGGAUUACUCCCAUCAGUAUGACCCCAUAAUUCUUUUCCUUUGACAAAUAAUUUAAAUUGAAACUACCAAGCACAAUAAUUUUUGCCAGUAAAUCUAAUAGGAAACGAUUCCAACUUAUCUGAUGACAUGAUGCAACUGAGAAACAAAGGAAAUAGCCCACCAGAAAAUUGGAAUAGAAACGGCCAAGAUCUAGGUUGCGAUGAACUCGAUCAACACUAUUUUUUAUGCCAAGCAUUUGAUUGGUAGAAGAUCACGAACUCCACUCAGAAGGUGUCGAAACCUUGCUCUGAUACCAUGUCAAAAUACUAAAAAAAACUCCACAGAAACUGAGAACUCUGAGAACUCUGAUCAGUUUAUUGUCCUCCCAUCCAUCUAUAUAUAUAUAUAUAUAUAUAUAUAUAUCCUAUACACGGAGUCUAAAUUCCUUAAUUGUAUAUGGUAACAUUAACAAAUACAUGGUAAGCCAAUUUGUAAAUCUUUUCCUAUAUGUACAGCCAAUUUCAUUCCUAAUUUGUAUAUGGUAACAUUAACAAUAGCAAGAAAGAAGAACGUAUUAUGAAGAAACAUAAUCGAGAAUCGACAACAAUCAUACCUGAGCAAGUUUUCUCGAUUGAAGCUCACCCCAUUUCCAAGCUUUUUUCUUCUUUUCUUUUCAAAACAAAAUGGAUCUCACCUUAGCUUCUUCCUCAUACCUUUCGGUUUCUUCUUCCUAUUCCCUUUUGAUACCCAUUCUUCCCGUUUUUCUUUUCUCCCAAAACCUCACCUACUCCAAACUCUCUCACAUGUCUCUCUCCCGUCCCAUCUUCAGACUUCUUCUCUGCAUCCCCCUCUUCACCGUCCUCCCAUGUUCUUUAUUUUCAUGCAAGUUUCUACCGACUCUUUGCUUCAACCAUCAUUUCAUCUAUUUCGUUCUAGCCAUCCCCCUAUCCAGCUACUCCUCUAUAUGAAAUGCCUAGUUUACCCGGUCUCAAUGAGGGGUGGUAAAAAAAAAAAAAAAAAAAAACCUUUGGUUUAUAAUAGGGUCUACAAAUAUGCCCCUCUUCAGCAGAGUUCGCGAGUGUAAGGAAUAUGAAUACUAGAGUGAAAAGAAAGUGUGAAUAGUGAGUGGAAUGAAGUGAACUCUACAGAAGAAAAAGAAAGACUCUUAAAGGUACACAAGUAUAACACAAACUCGCUCAAACUAACAAAGGACCAAAAGGGGUUCUAAAAUCCUAAGAGAAUGAUAGCUCUCAGAGUGCCUCUAAAGCUGCGCUAUGGAUCCAGGCUCCCUCUAAGAUGCCUACCAAAGUGACUCGAAGAUCAAUGUCAAAGAUGAGUAAUGGUCAAACCACCUAGGAGUAUAGAAAAGAAUGCACCUAAAGGGGACUGCCCUACAUGAACUACAUGAGAACGCUAAGUGUAGGGUGUCGAACAACAUGACCGAAAUAUGUGUCGUGAACUCAAAGGACUAGGUCAUGUGCAGUGGAAAGGGGAGUAUAGAAGAGCAUGAUGAACAAGCGAUAAGCACAAGGUAAUGAGGUGAGGAAAAUGAGGAUGAAUGUAAAAUCGCGAAGACAAAAUGUACGAUGCUAGUGAAUAUGAAUGCCAAGAGCUAUGACUGUGAAUGAAAAGUUGGGGGAAAAAAUGAGUCUGAAUGCCAAAAAAGAGAAAAUGUGGUGACUCAAAAUGUCAGAAUGAGUACGCACAAUGGCUCUCAACAUCAAAACUAAAGAAAGAUGUUGACACCGAAUACCAUGCUGAACAAUGGCUCUAAAUGCCAAAAUGAAGAUGCGGCUUUGAACGCCAAACUGAAAGAGAUAUGGUGGAUCUGAACGCCUAACUGAAGAAAGACAUGAUGACUCUGAAUCCCGAACCGAAGACAUGACUCUAAAUGCCGAACCAAAAAAAUGAUAACACUAAAUACUAAAGACGAAGCUUUGAAUGCCCAAACUAAAUUGACAGAUCUUAACGCUAGGAAUGUAGCUCUGAAGGCCGAAAAAGUGGCAGUGAAUGCUCGAUUAUGAUAGAAUGGUGGCUCUACAUGCCUAACUAAAUAAAGACAUGAUGACUCUGAAUGUCGAACCAAAAAACUGAUAACACUGAAUACUAAAGACGAAGCUCUGAAUGCCCAAACUAAAUUGACAGCUCUGAACGCUAGGGAUGUAGCUCUGAACGUCGAAAAGGUGGCAGUGAAUGCCCAAUCGUAAUAGGAUGGUGGCUUUGAACGCCAAACUAAAGAAAGACAUGACGACUCUGAAUGCUAAACUGGAGAUGCGGCUCUAAAUGCCAAACUGAAAACAUGGCUCUGAAAGCUAAACUGAAAAGGUAUGGCGGUUUUGAACUCCAAACUGAAAAAGAUAAAGGCUUUGAACACCAUAACUGAGAAUUAACAUCUCUGAAUGUCAAACUGAGAAAGACGAAUUUGAACGUCGUAACUAAGAAACAAUGAUGACUCUGAACGUCGAGCUACAAUGAGAUGGUGGCUCUGAAUGCCAAACUGAAAAGAGAUGGUGGUUCUGAACGCCCAAACUGAGAAAAGAUGGUGGGCUUUAAACGCUGAGUUGUAAAGAGACGAUGACUCUGAAUGCCAUAACUAAAAAGAGAUGGUGGCUUUGAAUGCCAAACUGAAAAGAGAUGGUGGCUCUGAACACCCAAAUUGAGAAGGGAUGGUGGCUCUGAACGCCAAACUGAAGAAGAUGAAGGCUCUGAACGCCAUAAUUGAGAACCGACAUCUCUGAAUAUCAAACUGAGAAGGACGACUUUGAAUGUCGUAACUAAAAAGAUAUGACGACUUUGAAUGUCGAGCUAUAAAGAGAUGGUGGCCCCGAACGCCAUAACCAAGAAUGGAUGGUGGCUCCGAAUGCCAAACUGAAAAGAUAUGGUGGCUCUGAACACUCAAACUGAGAAGAGAUGGUGACUCUAAAUGCCGAAACUGAGAAGGAAUGGUGGCUCUAAACGUCGAAACUGAGAAGAGAUAAUGGCUCUGAAUGCAAAACUGAGAAGGAUGGUUCUGAAUGUCGUAACUAAGAAAAUAUGGUGGCUCUGAAUGUCGAUCUACGAGGAAAUGAUGAGGACGGAAAUAUACCCUAGUGUAGCAUGCCGCCACAACUCUCAAUCCACUGGAAGAGUUUGAAAGAAGCUCCCUGAGUCUCAAAAGAUGCUCUACUAGCUAGUCGGAAUGGUCAAAUCAACUAUAAAUAUGGCCUCAUAACCCAUCUGACUAAAUCGUGAGGCCUGACGAAAUGCCACAAUAAGUCAAACAUCUCUAACUCAAAAUGCUCUAUUGGAAGAAUCCAUCAUCAUCUCAAAUGAAUGAUCCAAUAGGGAGUCUCAAGAGAAUAGUCCGUCAGGGUAACUACCGCGACCUCAACACAAAAAUCUAUUGAAAAGUCAUGGAUAGCUGGGCAGCCAAAACCCAGAAGGUCGUGCUCAUUCGAAGGCUCAUCUCGGCCAAAAUCACCAAAACUGUGACCAAUAAUGCAAAGAAAUAUCUCUUGUUCAAGUAAUGAAGAUUGUAAAAGGUCUGUGAGAAAACAAUCAUCUCCAUAGCUAAAAGAGAUAAACAUGCCCCAGUAUAGCAAUUAGGGCAUUUUGUCUGUCCUGAUAACUCGAGAAUAACUCAAUGGGGAUGUGUAAGAGAUUUGACAUGUACUCCAUUGAAAUGAUGACAUGGGAGUCUAUGCGCCUGAGAUAACACUAUCACAGAAUCACGACAAUAUCAGAAAGUAUGAACCUGACUGAAUGACUCAAGAAAAGCUCCACUAGGGAAUCAUCGUAAAAUAAAAACAGAUCAUCAACUCGACAUGUAUCUCGUAAAUGAGGAUGAUCAUGCAAAUCAAUGGAUAUCUACAAAUCUCAACCAAAACAUAAAUAUGCCCCAAUAUGGCAUCAGAUGUGUGGUAGGUCGAAAAAUCAGAUGACACCAAAUCAUCCAUCACCAAGUGUGUAAUCCUAGUCAUCCACGUCCAUAACUAAAUCGGAUUAACAGCUCAAAGAAGUGUCUCCCAAAAGAAGAAACAUGAUGAUAUCUAAAUGCCAAAAAGUGUGAGCUUGAUUGGAUGGCCCAAGAGAGACUCCACUGGGGGAUUGUGAUAAGAUAACAAUAGGCUAUCAACUUAACAUGCAUCUCGUGAGUGAUAAGGAUCAUGUGACUCCAUGAAGAUCUACAAAUCUCAAACGAAAAGGAAAUAUGCCCUAGUAUGGUGUCAAAUGUAUGGUAGAUCAAAAAAUCAAACAACAUUGGAUCAUCCAUCAUCAAAUGUGCAAUCUCGGUCAUCUAUAACCACAACUGAAUCGGGUCCAAAUGUCAAAGAGGCAUCUCCUAGAAGAAAAAGCAUGAUGAUAUCUAAAUAUCAACCAAAUCUCAAAUACCUGUCCAAGUAUGGGCUAUCAAAGACGACAUCUAAUCUUAUGGCCUCAAGGUGGUCUUAAGACACUGUAUGUAAUGUAGGCUAGGGUGAUAAGAUAAUAGAAACAAAGGAAAACUAGGCCUAAAUACCCAAUGAUCACAAUAUGUAUAGAAAAUCUCACGAGCCAUGGACUUAAGGAUCCCCAAUGUGAAUAUGGUAACAAUAAUGAGGUAGUGAAGAAAAUCGAACUGAUAAUGAGAUGCGUAAGGAUGACGCAAGGGAAAUAUCAAACCUGAAAUAGGUUAGUGUAAGAAAAAAACAAGAGGGUGAAACAAAUGGGAUGAAUCAUAAGCAAUGACAAGGAUGAUAGCAAAACAAUGAAUAUACGAAGAAAAGUGAUGAUCAACUCAAAUCAAACAUGGAGUGAAGUCACAUUAACAAUGAAUGUAAUGAUGGAAAGGACAAUGACCUAGAGCUCCUAGGAGAAGGCCACUCAUCUCACUCUCAAAGAAAUAUGACAAAGUGAAUACAAAGAAAAGAGAAUCUUAGAAAGCUCACAUACAAAGUCUCAACAACAAACAUACUCGAUAAAAUGACCAUCAAAUAUCAAUAUACAAGCUCAAUGAUGGAGAAUACUAUGCACAUACACACAUGUGCUUAUUUUUCUUUUCUUUUCAUGUUUUUUUUUUUUUACAUAUAUACAAAUACACAUACCUUGAACAUAAACAAAUGAACCCCAAAUAUGAUAUCAAUAAUGGAUAGACACACUCUCAAGUGCUAAGGAAACAAAAACUUUCUCUAAGGAGAUGAACUUCUCAAACUAAAGAUCUUUAAAUUAGUGUCCGUGGGAUAGAUAGUGAAAAUGAUGUGACUAUCCUCCAUGUAAUGAAUUAAGGAGGAUCACCACUCAGGGUGGAGAGAAAAUGAAGCAAAAUAAGCAUUAGUAGAAUAAAGAAAAAGAGAUGAAGAACACAACCAAUGAGAUAUGAAGGAAUGUAGUAGUACGAUGGUAGGAAAAAUAAUGAGAGAAUGAUGUGCCCGUAGGCCUAAGGCUCAUGAAACUCCUGAAUGAAGCAUGCAUACACUAAAGGGCCCCUAUCCCAGUUGAUUACUACCCAAAAAGUGCUAUUUUGCACCUUUAAUUCAUUAUGUUUUAAGCACUUUUGUAUAGUAGUUCUCCAUUUUUAUUCCAAUUGGCAUGUUAAGGACUUAGCAAUGACUUCUAAUCAUAUUUGUGGCUAGUUUUAGUGUUUUGACAGCUUUUUGGAUCAUUAAGACAAGCCAAGUAAAGGAGAGAAGCAAAGAGGAAAAACAGAGCAAAGAAGCAGUUUUUGUAGCUGUGCACUAUCACUUUGGGAGGCUCUAUUUUGUUCAUCGUGCAAAAUCACCUUUCAAGAAUCCCAUAUUCGGAACCGGCUCGGAAUUGCUGACAAAUCAAGUACCUAUAGUGGUAUAUUUCCAUUCGUAUAAGGAGCUCAAAAUGGCAAAUUUCGCACUUUGUACUAUUCAUGCAAGUGCGAAUUUCGCACCAGCCCAUGCGAGUGCGAAUUUUGCACCUUGUAUUGUUCAUGCGACUUUGGUGCGAAAUCUCCUCUGUUCUGACGACUCCACAUGAGAUCUUUUCUUUUGUAUUUUUUGAUGUAAAUUCCUUUCUUAUCCCUGUAAUUAGCCAAUCACAGGCUUUGCUUUGUAAAGACUAUAAGAGGGGUGGAAAUCAUCUCUCGGAGGGGACUUUUUUAUAUUUUACACUGAGUGAAAUUUUCCUCUUGGGGAGAAAUACAGAGCUCUCUUUGCUUUCCUUUUCUCUCUUCUAUUUUCUUUUUCUUGGAAGCCAAACAACCUCUGAGGAUGUUUUCCCAGAGGAUGAGAGGCUAAACCUUUGGUUUCUUGGAGUGAAGGAAGCUAGGUGAAAAGUCCAGAUGCAAAAGUGGAAAACUCUAGUGCCUUAAAUACAGGUAGUUGGAGUUCAUAAAUGGCUUUUAAAUCUAAAGUUUUGCUUUAAAUCCCUUAGAAUCACUUUGAAUGACCAAUACAUGAUAAGCUUUUAGGUCUCUGUGGAUACUUAUUGCUAGAUCCACAAAAGACCAUUAGUUAUCAUGUACGAGCCAUUGGAAAGUGGCUCAAGGUGAAGACCCAUAGUGUCUAAAGCCAUUAAUGGAACUUGACUACCAUUUCUAUUGACUUUUUAUGGAUUAAAUCUUCAUUGUUAAACCUAUACUGGUUCGGGAAACAACCAUCCUUUAUGUUGUUGUCCCCAAUACGAGGAGAAAAAUCCGGAAUUUCCCACUUUGCAUUCUGAACUUGAUCCUAGCAACUUUUAGCUCCGGGAGACUUUCUUUCUUCCAUUUUUACCUAGUUCUAUGUUAGUUUAGUUCCAAACACCACUUUCAAAACAAAUUUUGUUUUCUUUUAAACUUUAAGUUUCUGACAAAGGAAAUCAUCAGAUUCAAUUUCUAAUCUUGAGUCUAUCACUGGUAGAGUGAAAACCCAUCCCAGAGUUUGACCCUAGAGCUGCUAUACUAUAGUAGCUUUGCUACGCUAGUAUAAGGUCAUAGGAUUUAUAAACAUUUUUUAUUAAAAUACCCAACUGGGCACGAAUCACCAGUGCAGAAAUGUAAGCAAGGCAAUAAGAAAGAAAGACUCUGAUGCAUAUGCGAGACUCAAUGGGCUAGCAACGGUCUGUAUGUCAAAAAGGAAUAACAAGGUAUAUUGCUAACCGAAAUGAUGGCCGCCCAUCCUACGACCAUGGUCUCAAACAUAAUAUUUCUUUAGCUGAUCUACAUUAGUUGACUCCAAGAAUCGGUUUCCAUCUAGAUCCAUCAACCAUGUAACGCCAUCUGGGGUCAGCUCCCUAAUGAAAUAAGGUCUGCUCCAAUUAGGUCUAAACUUCCCUCCGGGAUCUCUGAUCAAUCCCUUGAUGACCUUUAGAACCAAGUCACCUCUCUAUAGCGAUCUAGGCUUGACCCGCUUUUUGAAUGCAUGGGCCAUCUUCCUCUGAUAAGCACGAACAUGGUCUGCUGCCCUCAAUCUCCUCUCAUCUAGGAGAUUGAGCUGGUCUAAUCAAGCCUAGGCCUAAUCUACCUCCGAAAUUUGCUGCUCCAAUGCUACCCUCAACGAACCCAUCUCUAUCUCAACUGGUAGCACUGCCUCCAUACCAUAUACUAAGGAGUAAGGUGUAGCUCCUAUAGAGCUGCGAAAAGAAGUCCGAUAAGCCCAUAAUGCAAACGAAAGCUUCUUUGACCAAUCCCGAUAAAUCUCAAUCAUUCUCCGUAAGAUCCUCUUAAUAUUCUUAUUCACAGCCUCUACCAUUCCGUUUGUCUGCGGCCUGUACGCCAAUGAUCUAUGAUGCUGGAUCUUGUAUCCCUGUAGUAAAGUGUCAACAUCUGCUCUGAAAUGCACUCCUCUAUUUGAAAUCAGCUCAUGAAGGACUCCAUAGUGACAGAUAAUGUGUGAUCUGAUGAAACUAGCAACCCUAGAUGAUGUCAAUCUUGCAUAUGAAGCAGCCUCCACCCACUUGGUGAAGUAAUCAAUGGCGACCAAGAUGACCUCAUGACCACUGGAAGACUUCGGUGAAAUCUUCCCAAUAAUAUUUAUACCCUAUACUGAAAAUGGUGAUGGCGAAGUCAAUGCAUGUAACUGAUUACUACUCAAAAAGGGCUAUUUGAUAGCUUGUAAUUAACUCUUUUAAACACUUUUGAGUAGUAAUUAUUGCCCUUUAACCCAAUUAACAUAUUAAGGACCUUUGCAAUCACUUCUAAUCACUUUGUGUAAGUUUUGGUGUUUUUGUUAGUAAUUUGAUCACCAAAGCAAUCCAAGAUGGAGGAGAGUUAUUUGGAAUCCAUGGUAAAGCAAUAGAAAGCUCAGGAACAUGAAGAAUCAGAGAUUUGAAGCCUUAAAGUCCUUUGCCAUAACCAAUCUGGAUUGCAAGGAGGAGAAGUAAAGAGAGAAUCCACCUUGAAGCAUUCUUGAUGACAGUCAUUUCAGCCACUUUUGGAGUACUUCCUGAAGUCCAAUUUAUGCAUACUUUAUGUCGUUUCGAAGAUCGGGAAGUCAACAAUCCAAUGCUUCAAACGGUUCGCAAAUCAGAGUUGAAAUGAAGAAGUUAGAGCCAAUGGAAGCAGAUCACUCCAAGCUGAAGGCCAAUUUCGCAGGGCUGCGAAAUCAGCCUUUGGCUGCGAAAUCAGCCUUUGGCUGCGAAAUCAGCCUUCGGCUGCGAAAUGAUUUCGCAGCCAUCUUGUUCAUCUGCGAAAUUUCGCAGCCAUUUUGUGCGCCUGCGAAAUUCUCCCGAGUGCUUCCAGAUAUUUGCGACCAUCGUUUUUUGUUAUUUUGCCUCAGAUAUUUGUUGUCUAAAUGCCAAUUCUCUCCUUGUAAUCCACCAAUUAGAUGAUUCCUUAGUUGUUGAGCAAGGAUGCAGGGGUAAACAACCUGAUAUGUAUUGUUUUGUAAUUUUCACUUUAAAAGGUCGGGGAACUUUCCCCAGGAGACGAACUUAUGUAAAUUUUACACUUAGUGAAAUACGAAAUAUCUUUUGCUUUCUUUUUCUCUCUACUACUUUCUAUUUUCUUAGUAGCCAAACAUCCUUGGAGGAUGAAAUCCCCAAGGAUGAGAGGCUAAGACCUUUUGGUUUCUUGAAGUAAUGGAUGCCAUGUGAAGCUCCCGUGUCAGGAUGGAGAUUUCCAAGCCAUGAAUGUAAGUAGUUGAGCAUCAUAAAUGUUUUCAUCCAAAGUAAAACUUUUAAUCCCUCUGACUUGCUUUGAAUGGCCAAUACUUGAUAACCUUUUGGUCUCAGUGGAUUCUUAUUGUUAGAUCCACUGACGUUCAUUAGUUAUCUCCUACGAGCCAUUGUAUUGCAAGUCGAGGAGAUGACCUAUUUCAUUAAAAGAGCAUUUAUGAGGUUCAGCUACCCUUUUUGUAAGUUUUGAAGGACUAAAACUCAGUUGUUAAACACAUACCGGUUCGGGAAGUAAGCAUCACCUGAGUUGCUUCCCCAACUCGAGGUGAAAAGUUCCAAAAUCUCCAUUUUUACACCGUGAGUUAAGCAUGGCUAUCCAAAGCUUUGAGAAACUUAUUUUUCUAUCUUUUAACCUAUUUGCAUGUUAGUUUAGUUUACAACACUUUCAUCUUUUUAUGUUUUCAUCUUAACCUAAUUUUUAUUAAGAAAAGUUCACUCCAUCCUCCGAACUUCAUCAGUUAAAGUAAAAACCCUUCCCAGUGUUCGAUCCUAGAGCCACUAUGCUAUAGUAGCUUUGCUACUUUAGUGUAAGGACGUUAGGUAUAAAUUUUGUUGAUACCCUUACAUGCCAAGCUACCAAGAGUCGGGUUAUCAGGCAUAUCUGCAAAUCCAAUGUUAGCGUACCCAAAACCUCUCUACUUGUACUGUCAUAGGCCCGAACUGUCUGAGAAGAUGGCUUAAAGUUUGAAGGUCCGAAGCCAAGAGCGACUACUGUGGCUAGCGAGCAAAUGUUCAAGGCAUAGCCAUUGUCUAAGAGGACAAAUGGAACUCGAUGCCUAGAACAACCAACAAAAAUGUAGAGAGCGAGGUAGAGUAUGGUUAAAACCUCUAGGGGGUAGAUCAUCAGCAGAGAAGACAAUGCAUGUGGCCCUAUCAGCUGUCAACAUGUGGAUCAAUUCCUCACGAGAGGUAGAUGUCUUAACUCGUAUUUGACUCAAUGCCCUGACUAGUGCCUCCCGAUGGGAUGUAAAUGAUGCAAAAAGACUCUAAAUGGAGAUGCGGGCCCGAGUGCUCUAGAGCUGCCUUAAAAUCUCAUCAUCCUCUUGUCUAGUCUCAUCUCAAGUAGCGUCACUCUCUAAAGGUCUAGUAACUGUGGGAGGCUGCUAUUGUACCACUCUCUCCCCAUAGAUGACAUACUGAACAUACUGAGCAACCGUCUCAUCAGGAUCUCUAUUCAAUAUAAACAGAGACUGAAUGUUAUAGCAUAGGUAAAUCAAUGGCCCAAUCGUGGUCAACUGCAAUGGUGGCAUGCCAGGGACCAAUCUAAAUGGUGCAGAUGCCUGUAAGUUUGAGAUCACUCCAUCAACCUCAUAGUUCUCAUCCACUACUAUGGGCUCCGGCUCAUAAUCAUCCCAACUCAACAUGUGAAUGCGAUCAUUAGGCUUAGUGAAAUCCAUGAAGUGUAUACUACUAGCUGGUGGAGGGACUGCAUGUGUAGUAUGGAUCGGUAAUGGGUUAGGGUUACACUCAGCUGACCCAAGUGAACCAAACCCUAAUCAAUCGAGUCCCAAAUGACAUGUCUUAGAGCAGGACAACGAUCAGUCUCAUGCCCUGGCCCCUAAUAAUAUGCGCAAUAUAAAUCCAUCCUAAACUGUGGCGGGAUGGGUUGAGGCAAUGACCUAGAAGUAAGAUUUGUCAACAAUCCAGCCUCAGUGAGCUUCUAAAGAGCCUGGAUCAACGACAUACCCAACUGUGAAAACUGUCUCUACGUCCUCAAAGCAAAAUGAGUGGAAGUUUGUGGAGCUCUAGGUCUGAGAUAGGAAGCUGGGGGUCUCGCGGCAAUUUGUGCUGCGUAGCAUGGCUAUAUGGGGUAGAAUAGGAAGCUGGAGGUCUCUCUGUGCCUUGUGCGGCGUAAUAAGGCAGUGCUAGUGUGGAAGGCAAGUAGGCCUCAUCAUAUGACCGUGGAGGUGCUUAUGACCUAUACUGUUGAGGUGGUGGUGAGUAUUAGGGUCCAGAAGUCUACCCAAUUGUUUGAUAGCGUCUAGGAGGUCUCAACCCUACUGAACUAACAACACAAACAUCUCAUGAUCUCUGUCAUCCUAAAGACUUCUUCCCUUUAGAGUCAGUAGGGAAAGACUCGGACCAUAAUCCUUUAGCUAUGCUCUCCUCUAUACCAUACAAUGCCUGCACCAAAAAGCCAAAGUCAAUAUGAGGAAAUCCCAUCAAGUGCCUAGCAAAUCGAGGCUGGGAGCUUCUCACGAUCAUACUAAUCUGAUCCCUCUCAGAUAGCCUAUCAAUAACCUAUGUGAUUACUACUCAAAAAGUGCUAUUUUGUAGCUUGUAAUUAACUCUUUUAAACACUCUUGAGUAGCAAUUAUUACAUUUUAACUCAAUUUACAUGUUAAGGACCCUUGCAAUCGCUUCUAAUCAAUUUGUGUUAAGUUUUGGUGUUUUGAUAGCUUUUUGAUCACCAAAGCAAUCCGAGAUUGAGGAGAGUUGUUUGGAAUCUAUGGAAAAGCAAUGGAAAGCUCAGAAACAUGAAGAACCGAAGCUUUGAAGUCCUUUGUCAUAAGCAAAUCCGGAAUGCAAGGAGAGGAAGCAAAGAGAAAUCUGCCAUGAAGCAUUCUUGAUGACAGUCAUGUCAGCCACUUUUGGAGCACUUCCUGGAGUCCAAUUUAUACAUUCUAUAUACCAUUUCAAAUCUCAGGAAGUCAAGAAUCCAAUGCUUCAAACGGUGCGCAAUUCGGAGUUGAAAUGAAGGAGUUACAGCCAUUGCAAGCCGAUCACUCCAAGCUGAAGGAAGAAUUUUGCACAGCGUUGCGAAAUCACCCUUUUGUUGCGAAAUGAUUUCGCAGCCAUUUUGCACAGUGCUGUGGAAUUCCUCCUGAAGUUUCCCGAUAUAUGCGACACGUUGGAAGCUGAGCACCGCAAGCUGAAAGCCAACUUCGCAGCGCUGCAAAAUCAGCCUUUUUCUGCGAAGUGAUUUCGCAGCCCUUUUUGUGCAUCUGCGAAAUCUCGCAGACCUCGUUUUCACCUGCGAAAUGGUCCUUAGUGCUUCCCGAUAUUUGUGCACCGACUCUUUUAGAUCUUUUCUUCAGAUAUUUUUGUAUAAAUUUCCAUUUUCUCCUUGUAUUCAACCACUCAUAUAAUUCCUUAGCUAGGAAGUAUCCAAGGAAGGGUAAAUUACCUUCCUAUAUAAACUCUCUUGUAAACACUAAAAAGAGGACUCUCGGGGAGUUUUAACCAGGAGAUCCAUAUAUAGAAGUAUGUAAUAUAGAUAGAUAUAUAAAUAUAUAGAAUAUACAGAGCCUUGCUCUGUUUUUCCUUCUCUUUCAUUUUCUUUUUCUUUUUCUUUCUAGCCAACCAAACUCUGAGGAUUUUUCCUCAGAGGAUGAGAGGCUAGGCUCUUUGUCUCUUGGAGUGAAGAAAGCCGGGUAAGUUUCCGAAUGAAAAAUUGGAAGUUUUGUUGUUUUAGUUUUUAAUGAAGAGAAAGUGUGACCCGUUAAUGGUUUUUAUCUUUUUAGUUAAUGGUUUUUAUCUUUUUAGUUAACUUAAAACGCCUUUAAAUCACCUGGGCCAAUACUUGGUAAGGCAAGUGAUCUCCAUCCAUGGAGAUUCACUAGUUUAUCUUUUGCGAGCCUUUGGGAGGUGGUUUGAAGGUAGGAUUUUCUAGAAUAGCCAACACUUGGUAAGCUUUUGGACUCCAAGGAGACAUCCAUUAGUUAUCUCUUGCGAGCUUUUGACGGGUAAUCCAAGGUUAAAGAUCACCUUGAAUGGCAAGUGCUAGGUGAGAGGUAUGAGCCAUUGCAAGAUGCAUCAGUGAGAGGGAUUUAGUGUUUGAACCCAUUAAUGGGAGGCAUCUGUACAGCACCGGUUAGAGAAUUAACUAUAUGUUAAUUCUCUAAUGCGAGGAAAAGAAACAAGUGACCAGAACUCUCCUUUUUGUAUGAGGAACCUGAGCCUAGUGAUCUGAACUCCAAGAAACAUUUUUCUUUGUAAGUAAAAUCAGUUACUAUUUUUGGUUAGUUUAAAUUUAAACCUUUUUCAUUCAAACAUCUUUAUGUUUUCUUUUAAAGCUAACCUUGAAAUGAAAAGACACCAAUUCAACUUUGAAUUAAUAUCAUUUGCAAAGUGAAAACCCAUCCCAGUGAACGAUCCUAGAGCCACUAUGCUAUAGUAGCUUUGUCUUUGCUACCCUAGUAUAUGGUGUAAUAGGUUAUAAAUUUUGUUGAUUAAUCCCUCAAUCAAGGAGCACCAGCUGGACACGAAUCAGCUGAGACACCAAUUGGGCACGAAUCACUAUGAAAUCUUUUCCCUCCAACGGGAGAUAAAUGAGGUGAUUGACUCCUCUGGCCUCUGCCUUAAAGCCUCCAACUCUUUCCUCGAAACAUCAAUGACAGUGUUAAAUGCAAACUGUCUCAAAAACUCCUAGGCCAAAUCAUCCCAAGUCCGACGGCGUGAUACAUCUAAUGAAGCAAACUAGCGCUGUGUCGCACCACUCAAGGACAUAGGGAAAAACAUAACCAUCUAGGUCUCAUCCAGUCCAUAGACCCUCAUAAUCAUACUGUAAAGCCUCAAAUGGAUGUGAGGACAGCCAAUGCCCGUGUAUCUCUCGAUCUUAGGCAUCCUAAACUUGGCCGAUAAAUUGGCCACCGGUGCUCCAUCAAAAUCCUCCCAAAUAAUAGCUCCAUCUGAAGCCCUCAUCUGCCUCAACCUCUACUCAAAUUUAUUCAUACGUGCAUGUGGGUCCUCUGAGGUCGGGAUAGGUAAUGCGAUAGGAGGCGGGGCAACCUCGGUCUAACUAUGUAGAGUGAAAGGUAUAGCUGUGGUGUUGAUUCACUGGGUGGAGGGGGUGGGGGUACUAUAGGGUCGUAUUGUGUGCCAUCCUGAGGUGAGAGCUAUUGGGUCUGCUGCCCAUCUAUUAUUUGGCAGAGGCUAGCUAUAGUCUCUUGAAUCGAAGCCAUGGCCGAAGCAAAUUGAUCAACUGUAACCACCUACGAAUCCAUAUCCCUCUUAUCUGAUCUCUGGUCUGAAUGGUCUGAUGCUCUGAUCAAUCUACCCCUAACUUUGAUCCAAGAAGCUGAACCCAGAUCGAAUGUAUCAAUACUCCUACAAUAGUGGAAAUACUAAAUAAGAUACGGUGUAAGAGAAACUCCAUAAGGAAUGUCUAUCAAAUAUGCUGAAAGGUAACCCGAAAGUAAUCAAACCGAUAUCCAAUUCUGAGCAAAUAUAUAAGAGAGUACUACAAAGGUAACUAAACCUAUCACUACUGACCCGGCUCUAAAGGCCCACAGAUGCACCCACAUGCAGGAAAGGAAAUCCUGAUCGAAGAAUCUAAGGCUCAACCUACAAGGUCAAGGCGGCUCUAAAAAGAAAAGAGGUGUUCUUUAAAGGAUCCCUAAUAGAACUGAUCAUACCCUCCGAUGGUACGCAACCCUCUGCACACCUCUGAAGAGACAGGACGCUUCCAUGCAAGGUGGUCAUCAUUUCCACACAUGUACUACCUUGACAUCCUAGGGGGUUUCCUAUGGUGAAAACUGUCAUAACUCUUAGCACUCAGUAGUUGACUAAAGUGCACAGUGAGUGGUGUAGGUGCAUUCGAAAAUCGUAUGAAGCUAAAGUAGAAAAAAAAAAAAAAACAGACUGAUCACAUAAAUAUCCCUAAAAUCUAGCUCUAGGCUAUACAAGUCUUCAAAGGUCGGACUUCAAUCAGCAUCAAUGUGUCAGCCACCUCCAAAAUGCUCCCAAACAUAGAUAUAACCCAUCUUUAGACUCUACUCCUAAUCACUAGCUCAAUCGAAGAGCAAAUAAAGCAACAAGUCUCAUAUCAAAUACGAGAUCAAGGAAAACUAGUUUGAUUGAGACUAGGAACUUGGAGAUAAGAGGAUAGGUGUGUGUCCCACACAGAUAAGCAACUCAUGUAAUCACACGAAAUAAGAGAAGUCAUGCAACAGACAGUCAUGCAAAGCAUAUGUAUAUCACUCAAAUCUACACACAAGCUAGGCAUGAAUAUGAUAAUCGAGAUGAAUAUCUAGCAAGGAUAGCAUGUUCCAUGAUAAUCAAGAUAAUAUACACCAAGAGAAUCAAUCAUGCCAAGAUGAAUGAGAUAAGAAACAAGAAUAAUGUACAUGUCAAGGUGAGCAGAAUAAUCAUGGCAAUAGCAUAAUCGAUCAAUAUCAUUAGCAUGGAUAUAGCGGACAAGCAUGAAAAAUUGUCAUAUCAAAAUCCUCAAUGUGCUAUGAUCACUUAAGUAUAAAAAAGCAUAGAGGGAAUGUAUCCGUUAAUUGCCUAAUCAAACGCCACAUUUGCCUCAUCUUAAGUUCAAGUUUGACCUUCUAAACAUUCCCCAACGGAGUCGCCAUUUGUGGACCCCGAAUUUUGCUCGAUGCGUUCCCAUUUGAUGACGAAACUCGGUUUUUUAUUUAUUUAGUGAAAAUAUGAUUUUUAGAAAAGACUUGGAGUCGUCACUUAUUUUUGUUUUAUUUUUAAGGGAAAACAAAAUAAGAAAGAAAGCCCUAAGUAUGACUCUUUAUUUGGAAAAGACAAUCUGUGGAAAACCGAGUCUGGGUUCGAGGGUUAGAUUACUUGUUGGGAAGGUACGGUAAAGACCGUAGCACCCCUCUAAGCCCCUAAAAAUGGGUUUCUACUAAAUAAGGUGAAGCAAACGUGGCGAUUGAUAAGGAAAUCAAUGGAUAUCAAUAAAAUGAUCAAAUAAUAAAAUGAAUCAUGCGUAAGAAUAAGCAAAAUAAGAGUAGGAUCGUACCUUAGCAGCAAGUAAUAGUGCGCUAUCAUGGAAACAAGGUUAGCUCAAGUAUAAAAUCAUCACAUGCAUAUCAAAGAGCAAGACAAAGAUAAAGCAAUAUUCAUUAAGCAUGACAAUUGGCAAUCAAAAAAGAAAACUCAUAUGUAGGGCCCCCACCAAAGCCCAAUUUAUUUUGCAUGUGUUGGAAAUCAAGCCAGCAUCCUCUAUUUACUUCCCUAAUUAGUGUAAUGUACAGCCUUUAUUAUAAUUGAUUUAGGAGUAAUUCUAGCAAGGUAGUUUAUUCACUUUCCAUGUAAGAGUAGUUUAUUCACUUUCCAUGUAAGAGUAGUUUAUUUACUUUCUAUGUAAGAGUAGUUUAUUUAAUUCCCAUGUAAGAGUUUAUUCACUUUCCAUGUAAGGGAAAUUCCAUUCCAGAAUUGUCUCAUAUCCAUAGGCUAUUUAUUUAUGCUUUCAUUCAUUGUAAAGGGAGGUAUCACAGAAUGAAUUGAGGUGUUCCUCCAUAUUUUGUCUUCAAAUUCCUUCAUAUUUUUCUUCAAAUUCUUCAUGGUAUCAGAGCAGUUUAAUCCUGUCUCAUCGUCUCAUCUUUAGUCAGUUUUUUUACUCNNNNNNNNNNNNNNNNNNNNNNNNNNNNNNNNNNNNNNNNNNNNNNNNNNNNNNNNNNNNNNNNNNNNNNNNNNNNNNNNNNNNNNNNNNNNNNNNNNNNAAAUGACAGUUGGUAGUAAUUCUUUUUCGGUUUCAUGUCAAAAUAACGAUAAUGCAAUUAGGUUGUGGCACUAUCGCUUAGGUCAUCCAAAUGUUAUGUAUCUCAAGCAUUUAUUUCCUUCAUUAUUUAAUAAAAAUCCACAAUCCUUUGAGUGUGAAAUCUGUCAAUUAUCAAAGCAAGUCCGGUCUCAUUUUCCCAUUCAACCCUAUAAAGAGUCUAGUCCAUUCUCAAUGAUUCAUAGCGAUAUCUGGGGUCCAUCAAGAAUAAAAAAUGUAACUGGUACUAGGUGGUUUGUCUCAUUCAUAGAUGAUCACACUAGAUUAACUUGGGUAUUCCUCAUGAAAGAAAAAUCUGAAACGAGUCAAAUUUCAAAAAUUUUAAAAAUAUGAUUCAAACCCAAUUCCAGUCAAAAAUAUAAAUUCUAAAGUCUGAUAAUGCUAGGGAUUAUUUCAACUCCAUUCUAGGAGAAUUUCUAGCACAAGAAGGGAUAGUUCACUUAAGUUCAUGUGUUGAUACCCCACAACAAAACGGAAUCGCUGAAAGGAAAAAUAGGCAUUUGUUAGAGGUGGCUAGAUCACUAAUGUUCUCCAUGAAUGUUCCAAAAUUAUUCUGGGGGCAAGCUGUCCUUACGGCAACCUACCUCAUCAAUAGGAUGCCGUCUAGGGUACUAAAAUUCCAAACACCUUGUCAAACACUCUUAAAAUCCUUUCCGACUACUCGUCUCAUCUCCACCAUCCCACCCAAAAUUUUCGGGUGCUCUGUCUUUGUUCAUAUCAAUCAACAACAUAGAAGUAAACUUGAUCCUAGGUCACUCAAGUGCAUCUUUCUUGGGUAUUCUUCAAAUCAAAAAGGGUAUAAGUGGUACUCUCCGGUCACAAGAAAAUUCUACAAUUCAAUGGAUGUCACCUUUUUUGAAACCCAGCCUUACUAUCCCAAAAACGAUAUUCAGGGAGAGAAUUCAACUCAGGAAUAUCAAUUUUGGGAUCUUGAGUCAUUCAGUGAGUCACCCAUCACCACUGAAAAUCACAUUCCUCCAGAGUCAUUUAAUCAACCCGAGUCCAUUGUUGACUUGUGGGAUAAGGAGCACAUCCAAGAGGAAACGAAGGAAAGAGCACUUUCUCAACAAACCCAUGAGGCAGAACCGGGUCCUAAUCCAAGCAAACUUCCAGGUAACAACGCUCCUGAUGGUACUGUUGAUUCCGAGUUAGAAAAUGAUAUUCUUAAUAUGCCCAUAGCUUGGAGGAAAGGAGUUAGAUCAUGCACUCAGCAUCCCAUUGGAAAUUUUAUUUCUUAUGAUAAGCUAUCACCUACGUUUCGUGCAUUCACUUCUAGCAUCACAGAGAUACAAGUUCCUCAGAAUAUUCAAGAAGCUUUCAAGUAUCCUAAGUGGAAGGCGGCAGUCGAUGAGGAAGUUCGGGCGUUGGAAAAGAAUGGUACGUGGGAAAUUACUGACCUCCCAAGAGGUAAGAAACCAGUUGGGUGUAAGUGGAUUUUCACAGUAAAGUACAAGGCAGAUGGUAAUGUGGACAGGAAUAAGGCUCGGUUGGUCGCCAAAGGAUUCACCCAAUCCUAUGGCAUUGACUAUCAAGAAACUUUUGCUCCAGUUGCCAAGCUCAAUACUGUUCGUGUACUUUUAUCCUUGGCAGCUAAUCUCGAUUGGUCGCUUCACCAACUUGAUGUGAAGAAUGCCUUCCUCAAUGGUGACUUAGAGGAAGAAGUUUACAUGGACAUUCCUGUUGGACUUGAGGCGACAUCAAAUUUCAACAAGGUUUGCAGACUUCGAAAAUCCUUGUAUGGUCUUAAACAAUCUCCCAGGGCCUGGUUUGAACGGUUCACUAAGGUAGUGAAAGGGUACGGAUUCGUUCAAUGUCAAUCCGAUCACACAUUAUUUGUGAAACACUUCCCAGAAGGAAAACUGGCAAUUAUCAUUGUAUAUGUGGACGACAUAAUUUUGACAGGUGAUCAUGAAGAGAAAAUUGACUUACUUAAAAAAUUACUGACAAAGGAAUUUGAGAUCAAGGAUCUUGGAAACCUCAAGUACUUUCUCGGAAUGGAGAUUGCUAGGUCAAAGAAAGGUAUAGCAGUCUCACAACGCAAAUACGUUCUGGACUUAUUGAAUGAAACAGGAAUGCUAGGAUGCAAGCCGGCAGAAACACCUAUGGAUACAACUGUCAAACUGGAAGAAAGUGAUGGAAGUGCGCCAGUUGAUAAAGGAAGAUAUCAACGUCUUGUGGGGAAACUCAUCUAUCUUUCUCAUACAAGGCCAGACAUCGGCUUCUCCGUUAGUGUGGUAAGUCAAUUCAUGAAUAAUCCAACCGAAAAACACAUGACUGCUGUGAUCAGAAUAUUGAGAUACCUCAAGAUGACACCGGGAAAGGGUCUCUUCUUUCAAAGAACAACAAAGAAAGAGAAUGAAAUUUUUUCAGACGCAGAUUGGGCAGGUUCAGUGACUGAUCGGAGAUCAACUUCAGGCUAUUGUUCAUUUGUCUGGGGGAACUUGGUUACAUGGCGAAGCAAGAAACAGUCAGUGGUAGCCUGUAGCAGUACUGAGGCAGAAUUUCGUGCUAUGGCACAAGGUAUCUGCGAGGGAAUCUGGUUGAAUAGGCUGUUAGAAGAAUUACGGGUUCCAUUGAAGCAUCCCAUGGUGUUAUAUUGCAACAAUCAAGCUGCCAUCAGUAUCGCUAAGAAUCCGGUUCAUCAUGAUCGAACUAAGCACGUGGAGAUAGAUCGACACUUUAUCAAGGAAAAGAUUGAAGAAGGAGUUUUCAAAGUCAGCUACACUCCGACAAACUGUCAAACGACUGACAUUCUCACAAAAGCUCUUGCUCGAGUUAACUUCGAAGAUCUGACAGAAAAACUUGGAAUGAUCAACAUCUACAACGCGGCUUGAGGGGGAGUGUUGGAAAUCAAGCCAGCAUCCUCUAUUUACUUCCCUAAUUAGUGUAAUGUACAGCCUUUAUUAUAAUUGAUUUAGGAGUAAUUCUAGUAAGGUAGUUUAUUCACUUUCCAUGUAAGAGUAGUUUAUUCACUUUCCAUGUAAGAGUAGUUUAUUUACUUUCUAUGUAAGAGUAGUUUAUUUAAUUCCCAUGUAAGAGUUUAUUCACUUUCCAUGUAAGGGAAAUUCCAUUCCGGAAUUGUCUCAUAUCCAUAGGCUAUUUAUUUAUGCUUUCAUUCAUUGUAAAGGGAGGUAUCACAGAAUGAAUUGAGGUGUUCCUCCAUAUUUUGUCUUCAAAUUCCUUCAUAUUUUUCUUCAAAUUCUUCAGCAUGAAUUAAUAUCACAAAUUCCAUUAUUUUGGAAUUAUGAAAAAUUCAUUCAUGCUUAUUAAAAAUAUUGAAAAAUGAGAAAAUUAUUAAAAACCAAAUAAAAUCACAACAUGCAUGCCUGAAUAAAAAAAAUGGUGGCAAGUUUAUUAAAAAUUAGGUUUUGGUGAAUCAGGAUUUUAAUGAAGAAAAGAAAAAAAAGAAGAAAAUAACAAUCAUAAUAAUAAUAAUAAUAAUGACAAACAAAUAAAUAAAUGAAUAAAAGAAAGUAAAAUAAUAAAAUAAAUAAAUAAAUAAUUAUAUGAAAUAUGAAUAAAUAAAAUAAUUAAAUUAGGUGAAUAAACAAAUUAAAUAAAUAAAUUUAAAAGAUUUGAAACCAUUUGAAAGACAAAUUUUUGAAAAUCAAGUUUUGAAACUUAUUUGAAAAUUGAAGUUUUAAGAACUAAAUCAUAAAUUUGGAAUUUUAGAAAAAUAAUUUGAAAUUGGAAGUCAUGAAAAUUGGAACUUGGAAAAAUUAUUUGGGAAUGAGAUUUCUUAAAAAUUAAAUCUGAAAAUUAGAAUUUUAGAAAAUUAUUUGAGAAUGGAAAUUUCUAAAAGAAUAAAUUUGAAAAUUGGAAUUUUGAAAAAUUAUUUGAAAAUUAAAGUUUGGAAAAUUAAAUUUGAAAUUUGGAGUUUUAAAAAUUAUUUGAAAGAAAUUGGAGUUCUGAAAAUGAAAUUUGGAAUUUUAGAAUUUUUGGAAAAUUAAAUUUAAAAAUUUGAAUCUUGGAAAACUAAAUUCAAAAUUAGAGUCUUAGAAAAUUAUUUUGAGAAUUGAAUUUUCAAGAAUUAAAUUUUAAAAUUGGAGUUUUGGAAAAUUGAAUUUCGAGAAUUAAAGUUUUGAAAAUUAUUUAAAAAUUGGAAUUUUAAAAAUUAAAUUUAAGAAUUGGAGCUUCAAAAGUUAAAGUUUUGAAGAUCAUUCAAAAGUUAUAGUUUUGAAAAUUAUUUAUGCAAGUGGAAAACACGUGUAUGUGGGCUUGGGACUAAACGAUUAAAUGGCAAGUUGUCUUUGAAUUACAUAAUCGAAAUUUUCAUCGUAACUUCUGGAGGCUGCCAAUUAUGGAGAGUAUCAAAGCUGGGAAUAAAUAAAAGCUGGCCACGUGCACAUUGAAAUGGUUAUACAUAUGGAUUGCAAGCAUAUAGGAGAGAAUAGCAAGGAGCUGGUAGUUAGGUGGGUUAGGUGAUUGAAAAGUGAAGAAAUGAUCUGGAAUGGUUGGAGCUAGGGACCAAAGAUGCCCAACUUUUGCAUGACCCCAUUGAUCACGUUCACAUGUCAUUGCCCAUGCAAGAGUGUUCCCAGUCGUUGGUCAUAUACUCAUGUGUAUCCUCCUGUCUCGCAUUCUGAAGUUCCAAGAUAUGCACCAUGAGUUAGAGAUAAGAUCCUUGGGUGCUAAUAUUCUUCCAGUUGACUGAAGAGCACGACUGACAUGCUUCUGGAUAGCACACAAAGUGCAAAAUCCAACAAUAUGACACGAAUUUUGAUGCUUUCAGUUUUGCAAACAUGUUGCUAAAGACUCUGUUCUCCAUAUGAUCAGUCUCAUAUCUCUUCCUCCCACUCGAAGCCGCCAGACCUAUACUGUGCCUAGGUCACUUCGGAUCCGUGAUGGGGUUCGGAGUCUCUUGUCGAAAACCUCCUCUGUUGUCGUUAGUGAAGCCUAAGAAAGGCUUUCUUGUGAGAUGAAACUCGGUUCUUCUGUAGAACAAGGACCCAACUAAAGACGGGUGCGGCGAAGCUAAGGGACCAUUUUCCUGAGCAUUGGCUUAUGAGAAGACCAUUCAGAUGGGUGUAUGAGUUUAAUGGAUGUGAGGAAUGAGAAUAUGAGUGAUAGAGCAGACACGUAGGGCAAGUUAUUAAUGAAGGUAUGAGGGAUGAGGAUGUGUGUGGUGGAACAAAUAAGGAGUGGAGGAUGAAACCUGGAAGUGUUGAGGAACGGAACCUAAGUAGUGUCGGGUGGGUAAAACUGAUGAAUAUUUGGCUUGGGAUUUGGGUCUGAUAGAGAGGCUUUGAUUGAGGCUUUGCAAAUGUGGCCAUGCAUGAGUUAUUUACAUGCUUAUGAAUGGUGGGGGGUGGGGGGAGGAAACUCAAACCAGAUUUGAAAAUAAGAACAAAUUAUCCCCAAGCCAAAAGCCAAAGUAAAAAUAAAUAAAUAAACCAACAACAACACACCUAUGAAUGACUCAAAAAUCUAAUAAAUUCAAACACAUAACCUGAUGUUCACGCUUAGCAAACAAUCCACAAAAAGAAAUAGCAAGAAAUAAGAAGAAAUUAUUAUGAAGAAGCAGAAUCGAGAAUUGACAACAAUCAUAUCUGAGCAAGUCUUCUCGAUUGAAGCUCACCCCACUUCCAAGCUUUUCUCUUUUUUUCUUUUCAAAACAAAAUGGAUCUCACCUUAGCUUUCUCUUCCUACCUUUCGGUUUCUUCUCCCUGUUCCCUUUUGAUACCCGUUCUCCCCAUUUUUUCCUUCUCCCAAAACCUCACCUGCUCCAAACUCUCUCACACGUCUCUUUCCCGUCCCAUUUUUAGACUUCUUUUCUACAUCCAUUUUUUCACCUUUCUCCCAUGUUCUUUCUUUUCAUGCAAGCUCUAAUCGGCUCCCUGCUUCAACCAUCAUUUCAUCUAUUUUGUUCCAGCCAUCCCCUUCCCCAACAACUCCUUCAAAUGAAAUGCCUAGUUUACUCGGUCUCAAUGAGGGGUGGUAAAAAAUAAAAAUAAAAAAAACCUUUGGUUUAUAAUGGGGUCUAUAGUGGUAUUUAUUUUUUACUUUUCUCUAAAAUUUGAAUAAACCUAAAUUAUUAUUAUUUUUUAUCUUAAUUUUAAAAUGUCAAAAAUCGUUAAUCUAUUUUCUAUUUGUAGUAUGAAGAUUCGAAAAAUUCUUACUUCCCAUAAUGUUUGAACUUAUAUUUACCAUUUUUUUCUUCUUGAUCUAACAACAAGCUUGACUGCACAAACUUAGUCAGCAAUGAGAAUAAAAGUGACGAGGGUGAUAAAGUUCUCCCUAUACUGUAAUCCUGAUGGACUAAAAGGCCCAAAAUUCAUCUUAAUGGGUCAAAGUGAAGCCAUGAGCCUCUUUACAAUAGAUUAAAUUGAUUAUGGCCCAAAAUAAUACCCAUGCACAACCAAACAUAGUUUACAAUAUAUGUAGUCCAAUAACAUAAUUUCAACAUAUGAUUACAUUUUACUCUCCCUUUAAUGUUAAAUGACUUGAAAUAGUAAAAAGUUUUAUUUGAAAAUUUUUAUAUUUUCAAACUCUUGAUUCCUCUUUAUAAAUGUGGAUAAAGUUAAAGUUAGAGAAAUAAUGAAAAGAAUUAUUAAAAUUUAUUAAUCUUGAAGAGAAGUAUAAAAAAUGAAAAAUUAAUGAAAAAUUUUAUUAAAAUUUGCUAAGGUUAAUAUUUUUUUGUUAAUUUAUUUAUUACUUUAUUUUUCUUCAAUGUUAUUUUUCCUAGUAAUAUAAAUGUGGAUUUGGGAAGUACAUAUGCCAUUAUAUGACCCAAAAAUUAUUGGUUAUAGAAUAUUAGAAAUUCCGUAAUAACAUAAUUCACAUACAUUUUAUCUCAAAGUUAAAAUAGUCUUACCAGUUGUUAUAUAUCUAUUAGUGUAGUAGAUUUUGAGCUUGUCUUAAAAGUUCUUGCCUAUUGAUGCCUUUAUCAACUACUUUGCAAACCAAUUAUCCAAACUUGAAACACAAGAUGGUUGGGUGGUCAUCCAUCACAUCGCUUAUGGUUAAGUCAAUGGAUAACAAAAAAAGAAAGUGUUGAGAGUAGAUGCAAAAAUAAAUAUGGGAAUACGAGUGAGAGGAUAUGAUAGAUGAAGCUUAUUCUCUCUACUAGAACUUGAUCGGACCUUUAUAGUUCAUUACGUUAACCUAACCGCUAGGAGGUAAGUAGUUACCAUGUUAAAAAAAUUGGAAAAUAUUAAGGAAUGGAAUUGGUUACUAUUGACUUCCACCUUGAUUGUUGACUUUUGAAAAAUUAAUUUAGAUUGUUGGAUAAAGAUACAAAGAAAUAAGAAAAAAGCAUAAAAGUUCAAAUAAAUUAAACAUGAGAUCUAAAGGUACCAACUAGUGACCAAGACACCGAUUGGUGAUGUCUUUUCAAUAUCUAUAGGAAAAAAAGUACAUUUCGGUAUUAUGGUAAGAUCUUAAAACCCUUCUGUAUGUCUAGUGAUUGUUCAUUUUCUGGGGCGUUGAAAAGAAUUGUUUCUCCAACUAUAUUACUACCAUCACCGAUGUCCUCAUCAGUCAUGAGGCCUAGAUCAAUGACCAGCUUCGAUUCUAUCUUUUCUUCUCCAAAAUACUCUUGUGCAUUUCAAAUUAGGAGCCAAAAUCUGGUCAAAGAGAAACAAUAACCCAAAUUCAAUUCGGUUAACCAGCCAUUGAUGAAAGGUCUCUACAGAUUGUUGUAUUCUUCGCUUCACGGUGAUGAAAUGUAUAUCCGGGGACUGAAUCACUAGCUAUUUAAUUCGGCUUUCAGAUCUCUAGUUUCGGUUCUUAUGCUAGCCAUGUUCGCCACCAUGGCAUUGAUUUAUGUUGUCGACCGGUGAGUUCUCGCACUGUUUUGUAUUGUGAAAUGUUUUUUCGUUUCUUAGUUGUAAUAGUGCUCAUGGUGUGGUUAAUUUCAUUAAUUUAGGUUUUUUUUUUAAUUAUAAUUGGUCUAUUUUUUUUUAAAAAAAAAAAAAUUGUUUUUAUCAAAAUUUGCUAUUGGUAGGCUAUGGUUGGAUUCUAAGAAUAAGGUUUAUUUGAUUAAAGAGCUUGAUAUUGUUAUUCAAUUGUAGCUUCAAAUUUUCUUCCCCAUAGUUUGUUAAUGCAUUUUUUGGGACUAUUUUGUUAUCGUGAUUAAAUUAUAGAAUUAUAAUGAUACAAAUGGGGUUUUGACAUUGUAUAUAUGGAAUCGGAAUCAGUCCAUCAUGAUUUAAAUUAAUUAUAUGUUCUAUAACAUUACAUUGCAAUGCCAAAUAAACUGGUGAUUUGCAUGAGCUCAUUUUUUUUUCUUUUCUUUCAUUAUGUUUUUGUCUUUUUUUUUUUCUUUUAUUGAAAUGCAUUACAUUUCCUAUUUUCAUUUUUCGAAAUUAAUCAUUUAGAGUAAUUGACUAGAUAAUGGGUUUUUCUAUUUUAAUAGUUUUUAGGUACAAUGAGCCAAUGACACAUUGCAAAUUAUAGCAUGCAAGUAAAUAAAUUAUAGCUAUCCUUCCUUCAUGUGGGGUUCUUUUUUUUGGGCUUUUGUUAUAAUAGAUAAAAUAUAAUCUAGAGGUCAUGGUGAUGGUUCUUCAAUUUUAUAAGAACAAUAUAAGAAGUUAGCAGCCCCGUAAGAUGGAGUUAGUUGCAGCAUAACAGGAAGAUUUUAUCUCAAAGAACUUGCUAGAAAAUAAGAAGACGACUCCUAAGAAAAAGCUUUUAGCUAUUGUAGGAAUUAUGACAAAGUUUGGCCACAAGAACAAUAGAGAUGCAAUCCAUAGGGCAUGGAUGCCAACUAGUAUAAUACCCUUCCUUUUGUAAGUUUUGCUCUUUAUUCUUUGUAUGAUUUACAUAGAGAAUAACCCAAUUGCCACUUAACAGAUUGACAUUUCUGUUAUAAGCAUAUAAAGGAAAAAAAAACAGGAAGCUUGUAGGUUGAACUCUUAUUAACAUGAAAACUUUUAGUGGACUACCAUUUCUCUUCUAUUCUUUUUUCAUUGUUUCGUUUAUUUUCUUAGUUUGCAAUAGUCAUAUUUCAAUAGUUUGCAAACUCCAUAAACCAAUUUGAAAAACCUUGAAGUUAACAGGUGCAAAUUAUGAGAAGCUAAAAUCUUGUUUCUCUAGGAUUUUUUUGAAGUUACUCAAUUGAAUGGAGAACAUAAAACUAUCAAGAGGCCCUGCCCCUACCCCUACCCUGCACCCUCUAUACCCCUGUUUACAGAAAUUUUGAGUUUGUCUUUAAAGUAAUAAGGAAGACAAUAGUUUGUAUAAUAAUGAAACAGGAAGUAAUAUUGUGAUUCAUUGCUGCAAAAAGUAAUAUUGACAUAACUUAUGUGUUAAACUACACUUAAAUGCUUAGCACAAAAGUAUGUUAUUCUUCAUUUGAGAGCAUUAAUUUAAACCUUAUAUGUUAGCAUCACUUUUUCCAUAACUAAUUUUUUCCCCCUUAUCCAAGACAAUGCAUAUCGAGUGAUUGAUUCUUAAGUUAAUAGCCUUGGCACCCACAUGGGGUGAAGUUUGAAUCCAGAAUUUCCCAAUAGUCUUAAUACGCUUCCUCGAGUGUGUUCAAACUUAAGACGUCAAUGGUAAACCACCACUUUACCAAACAAUUUUAAGUUACUAAGUAAUAGGCUAGCAAUGGGAUAUUAAGCUUGAGCAAUUCUUUUAUAAUGUUUAAUGGUUUAAACGUUGACAAUUAAAACACUUACAAAAGCAUGAUGACUUACCCAUUAUUUUUGUACAAAUACUUUAAAAGCAACUCUUGCUACUCAUUUGAAUAAGCCUCGAGUUCAUAUUGGGUGUAUGAAAUCAGGCAAAGUUUUCUCAAAUUUGUGAGUAUAAUCAAAGUUUUUUUUUCUUCUAAAGAUGAGAAAACGAGUUGUUUAUGAUAUUCUACUUUCAUAAAAACUAUGAGAAAACAAUCUGUUAAGCAUUGCCAUCAUGGAAGAUAUUGAACCUAAAGUCCAAAAGAUGUAUGAAAGCACAACCAAAGAAAUCGAGGACUGAUCUACACCUUCUCCUAAUCGAGAGAGGAGUGUGAGGUCAUGUGUCAUGGUGAGAUGUGUGGGAUAAAAGAAUGUAAUGAUCAAGCUCUAGUAAGAUAGAAAACACGAAAGUAUCAAAGGUGAAAUGUUUGAGUAAGAAAUGAAAGGUAGGCAGACAUUCGAAAUCAUCCAAGUAUGCCAAGAAGACUAAACCUAAGGUGUCAAUAGCUCCAUAAUCCAUCAAAAGCAGCAAUCAUAAACAAAAAGUCAAGUCUCGAUGUCAAAACAUCUACCAAUCAAUAUCAUCAACAUCCCAAUCAAUCUACUGAAGACUAGGAAGAGAGGGAACUGCAUGUGUAAAAUGUGUAGGCAGGGGAUUGGUGGUCACACUUGGUCCAAACAAGUUGACCAACCUUGAAUCAAUCAAGUCCUUUAUCACAUGAUGGAGCGCCACACAACACUCAGCAUCAUGCCCUUGAAUAUGAUGAUAUAAGCAAUACUCAUGUAAGCAAAAAUGAGGAAGAAUAGGAUACGGCAAAGGGCGUGGUGCCAAAGAAACAAUCACACCAGCGUCUCUGAGUUUUUCAAAAGCUCUAGUCAAAGUCAUGCUCAAUGGAGUGAACUGUAUCGUGAGCCUUGGUGCAUAUGGUCUAGGUAAUAGGGGAGUAGCUCGGAUGUGGUGGCCGUGAUUGCAUGCUAGUCCGAGCAAUGUAAGGCUGCUAAACAUAAAUUGACUGAUACGAUGUUGUGGAUGAGAGAAAUGAGCUCUAAUUGUAGGAGGCCUAUAAAGCGAGUGAUAUGCAAGCCUUUGAUGCUGAUAGCUAAUGGUGUCAACCUCUCCAGACCUACUAGAUAAUCUAACCGGCUUCUUUCCCUUAUUGUUAGGGGAAGGAGCAGUAUUUGUCCAUAAUCCUAGAGCAAUGGCCUCCUCAACACUGAGAGCUGCAUGAACUAGACUCUUAAGAUCCUGAAAUGGAAUGCCCACAAGGCGUCUAACAAACCUUGGCUAUAGGUUCCGAAGAACCAUAUCAAUCUGAUCCCGCUUCUUAGGUCAGUUUAUCAUACCUGCCACAUUUGCCCUCCAACAAUUGACAAAUGAGGAAAUAGACUCGUCUAACCUCUGUCUGGUGGCCUCCAACUCUCGUCUAGAUACAUCAAUGUCAGCACUAAAAGCAAACUGAGUCAAAAAAUCAUGAGCCACAUCCUCUUAGGUGCGAAGUCUCGAAGGCUUAACUAAGGCAAACCAUCUCUAAGCUACUUUACUAAGUGACAAAGGGAAAAAAACCACUAAUUGUGCAUCAUCUAUCCCCUGUGCUCUCAUGACUGUGUUGUAUAGUCUCAAACGGAUCUUGGGACAACCAAUCCCACUAUAACGUUCAAUGUUUAGCAUGCAAAACUUGGUAGGCAAGCUAGCCGUCGGUAUGCCAUCCUUAUCAUCCCAAGUCAAACCUCCAUCCUGUAAUCUAAUCUACCUCAUCUUGGACUCAAGCCUCUCAACCUUGGCCUCAUGCUCGGCCAAUCUAGUAUCAUCAGUAGUAGUAACAAUGGAAGGCGACACUGUGGUAACAUGUGGUGGAGCAGUCUCACAAUGAUUUGAUAGAUGGAAUGAAACGUCAUGUGAAGUCCCAGGUGGAAGAACCUGUGUUGUCUAAGAUGCAUAGGAAACUGUCUCAUCAGUGCUGAUGCCGACUAGAUGAUGAUCUUGGCGAGAACUCUCAAUCUGAUCCAAACGUCUACUAACCCUUGCCAUGAACUCCUAAAUAGAAGCAAGUGUAGAAGCUAGCUCGUCUGACAUCUCAACUAAACUGUUUGAACUUUGAUGUGAAUCUGCUCUGAUCAAUUGACCUCCAAUUCUCCUCCAAGAAUGUGAGUCCAAACUCAACCAACUCCUAAAUUGACUCCCUACAAUGCAAACGAAAUGGAUGGACACAAGAUAGAACCCUAAAAGACAACCAUACAACAUGUAAACACAUGAUCCUGAGGUGGCAAUCCGAAAUCUGGAUGUAUGAUGAGAACUCUGGAGUCAUAAAGGUGUCCACUAUGAGAUGGCUACAAUUGUGACUAGAGAAUUCCUAUCAAUAAUCCAAUAUGAAAGAGGUGUGAGAAACACAAUAUCACAAGAUUGAUGCUCCAUCUAUAACCACAUAUCCUUAACUUAACCUUGAACUUGAGCUCCAUAAAGAGAAAAAAAAAAUACGGUGAUCAAGGCGAAUCUCUGGAAAAAAUGUGACUGUGAAAACAUGUUUUUCACCUUUCCGUAAUGAAAAUGUGAGCAUCGAGUUGAAAAUUGAAUCAAUGAUCAAACAAAGAAUGAGAUAUUGGGCUCGUGAUAGGUGUACAGUGUAAAAAGAUGAUCAUGAUCAACAAACAUAUCCCAAAGCAUCCAACAAGCGACAACAAAAAGAAAGGAUGUGUCAAGCUAAGAAAUAAAUAUGAAAGCCCUAGGGAGAAAACAAGCUAAACUCAAUGAGCGACAAAAAGAAACCAAAACUAUACAGCAAUGGGUGGUCCAACUGAUACUCAAACUUGCAUUGAUCUCUAAGCACUCUCAACUAAAGACCAAAAGAGGGAGUAUUGGAUCCGAACUGUAACUAAAGAGGCUCUAAAAGUUCUUAGAUGCACCCACGUGUAGGGAAAGGAAUCCUAAUUGAAGGAUCUAAGGCUUUACUUAUAAGGUCAAUGUGGCUCUAAAAAGAAGAAAUAUAGGCUUUCAAGGGUCCCUAGUAGAAGCGAUCAUAUCCUUUGGCAGUAUGCAACCCUUUGUAUGCCUCCAAAGAGACAGGGCGCUUCCAUGUAAGGUGGUCAUUACCUCCACACAUGCACUACCUCGCAGCUCAGAGAACUCCUAUGGUGAAGGCUCUCCUAAUGACUGACGUAUCUCACAACUCUGAUCACUCAUCGACAACCUAAGGUGCAUAGUGAGUGGCGUGGGUGCAUCCAAAAAUCCUAUGAAACUAAAAGAAAACACACUGGACACACAAAUAUCCUGAAAUCUAGCUCUAAGCUAUACAAGUCUUCAAAGGUCAUACUCUAAUCAACAUUGUUAGCAGAUCGAAGGGUUGGCUGCGUCCAUCAACUCCCCUUAUGUUCGCCGUGGGCGCUUGGGUGAAUGCAUUAUAAGGGUAGGGUAUGCGUCUUUCCUACAAACAAUUGCUUUUAGGAGAGUUGGUAGCGUCUGAGGUCCUACAAGUGGUAUCAGAGCCAAGGUCACGGGUUCGAACCCUAGGGGUGUCGUUGAGGGGGAGAUUGUUGGCAGAUCGGAGGGUUGGCCGCGUCCAUCAACUCCCCUUGUGUUUGCCGUGGGCGCUUGGGUGAAUGCACUAUAAGGCUAGGGUAUGCACCUUUUCUACAAGCAAUUGCUUUUAGGAGAGUUGGUAGUGCCUGAGGUCCUACAAACAUCAAUGUGUCGACCACCUCCAAAAUGCUCCCAAACAUAGAUAUAACCCAUCGCUAGACCCUACUCCUAACCACUAGCUCAGUCAAAGAACAAACAAAGCAACAAGUCUCAUAUUGAAUACAAGAUCAAGGAAAACAAGGUCAACCAAGACUAGGGACUUGGAGACAAGAGGAUAGGUGUGUGUCCCACAUAGACAAGCAACUCAUGCAAUCACACAGAAUGAGAGAAGUUAUACAACAGAUAGUCAUGCAAAACACAUGUAUAUCAUCCAAAUCUACACACAACCUAAGCAAGAAAUAUGAUAAUCAAGAUAAUAACUAGCAAGAAUAGCAUGCUCCAAGAUGAUCAAGAUAAUAUACAAGCAAGAGAGCCAACACUAAGAUAAACAAGACAUACAACAAUGUGAAUAUACAUGUCAAAGUGAGCAAGAAAAUCAUGGCAAGAGUAGAUUCAAUCAAUAUCAUCAGCAUGCCAAUGUCGCAAAUGGAUAUAGCAAUCAAACAUAGAAAGUCACCACAUCAAAAUCCUCAAUGUGCUAUGAUCACUCAAGCAUAGAGAAGCACAAAGGGAGGGUAUCCAUCAACCGAAUAAUCAAAUGCCACAUUUGCCUUAACUUGAAUUCAAGUUCGACCCUCAAAAAUUCCCUAGUGGAGUCGCCAUUUUGUGUACCCCACAUUUCUAGCACGAUGCUUUCCCACUCGAUGAUGCGACUCGCUUUUUAUUUAUUCAAUGAAAAUAUGAUUUUUAGAAAAAAAAAACUUGGAGUCGUCACUUAUUUUUGUUUUAUUUUUUUUAAGGAAAAAUAAAAUAAGAAAGAAAACCCUAAGUGUGACUCCUUAUUUGGAAAAGACGGUCUGUGAAAAACCAAAUCUAGGUUCGAGGGUUAGAUUUCCUAGUGGGAAGGUACGGUGGUGAGACGUAACACCCCUCUAAGCCCUAUAAUAAGGUCUCUACUAAUAAGGUGAGACAGAUGUGACAAUUGAUAAGGAAAUCAAUGGAUACCAAUGAAAUGAUCAAAUAAUAAAACGAAUCAUGCAUAAGAAUAAGUGGGAGUAAGAUCGUACCUUAGCAGCAAGUAAUAGUGCGCUAUCAUGGAGACAAAGUUAGCUCAAGUAUAAUAUUAUCACAUGCAUAUCAAAGAACAAGACAAAGAUCAAACAAUAUUCAUUAAGCAUAACUGUUGACAAUCAAAAGAGAAAACUUAUAUGUAGGGCCCCCACUAAAGCCCAAUUUAUUUUGUUAUGAAUUAAUUAUCAUAAAUUCCACUAUUUUGGAAUUAUGAAAAUUUAUUCAUUUUUAUAUUUAAAAUUUUGAAAAUGAGAGCUUUGAAAAUUAAACUUGAAAUUGGAAUUUUGAAAAUUUAUUUGAAAAUGAAAGUUUUGAAAAUUAAAUUUUAAAAAUUGGAAUUUUGAAGAAUUAUUCAAAAAUUAAAUUUAAGAUGAAAAUUGGAAUUUUUGAAAAUUAUUUGAAAAUGAAAGUUUUGAAAAUUAAAAUUUAAAAUUGGAAAUUUGAAGAAUUAUUCGAAAAUGAAAGUUUUGAAAAUUAAAUUUGAGAUGAAAAUUGGGAUUUUGGAAAAUUAUUUGAAAAUGGAAGUUUUGAAAAUUAAAUUUUAAAAUUGGAAUUUUGAAGAAUUAUUUGAAAAUGAAAGUUUUGAAAAUUAAACUUGGAAAUUGGAAUUUUGGAAAAUUAUUCGAGGAAGUUUUGAAAAUUAGAUUUGGAAAUUGGAAUUAAAAAAAAAAUUAUUUGAGAAUGAAAUUUUUGAAAAUUGGAAUUUUGAAAAAACAACAUUUCAAGAUUAAAGUUUGAGAUUAAAUUUUUGUUGGUUUGUAGCCACACAAUUUCAAAGUCCACUAGUGUGUUACAAUUGGACACAAAAUCCCACAACCUUAAUCUUGAAUCUGACUGCACUCUGAAGAUUUAAUAAUAGCACCAAAAUGACUUCUGCAACUAAUGAUAGCACUAACAAUGAUGGUCGACAGCCAAACUGCAACUAUUGCCCCACCUCCAUAGAUAAAAAUUGUGGAUUUGUUUUUUAGUGCAUCCCACAUUUCCAUCAAAUCCGAGAAUGUCCUGCAUCAACUGGACCAGAUUCAUCUAAAGAGGCGUUGAUCUGGAGUGAGGAAAACCUAUUGGAAUCUUCUCGUGAGAGAUCCGUUUGACAUGGAUGACCCGUUUUUGGCAGUAAACUUGAACGACUUUCCCUUCUCGGCCCUUGAAGGUUCCCCGAACGACCUGGACCUCGUCGUCCUUGCGAAUAGGCAUGGAGCGAACGUUGUACUUGCUGCGGAGGUUAGUGGAGAGUGGUGCGCUCAUCAGCACUCGUUGAACACUCGAUGACACCGUGAAGUAAGGGUGUUAGGAAAAAUGCAGCUGGAGGUUGCUCCCAAGAGGAUGUAGUUGCAGAAGAAGAAGACUUUGUGGGUGUGGUAGUGUGAUUAUGUGACUAAGCUUGACUGGCUAUGGAUGGAGAGACCCGUUUUGAGGGUUUCCGGCGAAAUUUAGUGGCGGGUAGUGGAUUCCAAUGAGUAUUGGACUGUGGUGGUGGAUAUGAGAGAGAAAAGAAGUGAUCAAGCUAGCACAAUCACUUGAUAUUUUGGCAUUCUUGGUAGAAUUAACAUAAAUAAAAGGCAUGAUUUUCAAGCAUCAAACUCAACUGAAACAAAGACAAAAUAAAUAGAAGUGGGAAAUAGACUUAACACAUUCAAGCGCCAAAACAAAAAUCCAAAUAUCAACAAGAAACAUGGUAUGACUGUAAAAAAAAAUAGAGAACCUAAGAUGUGAAAUGGUCAAACUUGAGCGAUUCCUCCUGAGCAAAUAUUGUCUAGCUUCCAGCAAGCUGCAAUCUCCCUCAUCUGUUGCUCAUUUUCUCAUCCCUCGCUAUCUCUGUUUUUUCACGUUAUGCCAUUUUCCCUUUAUUUUCCUUCCUCUCCAAGCUUCUACCAACCCCACUCGUUCCAUUGCUCCUUGCUCAGAAGCUGUUAAGAAAAAAAUAAAAAUAAAAAAUAAAAAAAAUCCCCCAUCUCAACCACCACCAUGGCAAGGUGGUGGUGUCCUUGGCCAUGCGUCCCAUGCAUGCAACUCACUUGGAAAGUCGACCACCUACUCCUCCAAGAUGUUGCUAGCUCUUCCUAUUAUGGUAAAAAAAUAAAAAAAAAAGGAAAAAAAACUUUUGGUCCACAAAGGGGUCUACAAUAAUAGAGUGAUCAAGUGUUUAGGUUGUUUAUUUCUUAUUAUUAUAUAAAUAUUGUUAAAUGUUAAAUUGCAUGUUUUUAUUAAUAUUUGAAAGGUUAGACUUAUUUAUAUUUAGAUGUUAAAAAUAUUUAAAAAUUAGUUAUUAUAUUUUUUAAUUUGACUUUAAAAUUAAUAAUAUAAAAAUGGUAAUUUAAUAUAUUUUAAAAUAUACCAAAAUAUCAUAAUUUAUUACUAUAAUAAAAUUUUAUAAUAAUUAAUUAUAUAAUUGGUUGAAAAUUGAUAAUUACAUAAUAAUUAGGAUUUUUAAUUAUACUUGGUAGUUAAUAAAAUGUUAGAAAUUUUCUUAGUUAAAACUUAUUUUUAUGUAACCUAUCUUGGGAUUUAUGAAUAAUAUAGUUGAGAUUAAUUUAUUAAAUUUUUAAUUUUUAAUUUGGGAAAAAUAUUAAAAUCUAAAUUUUAUUUUUUAAAUUAACUGAAAAUGUUUAUUCUAGUGAAUAAUUAGAUGAGUGUAAAUUAGGAAUAUAAGUUCAAGCUCAUGAACUAACUGAACCAAUUUUAACCAAUCCAUUGUAGCCUAAUUAGUUUGGUUUUUCAUUUAAAGACGUUUGGUUCAGCUUGCAAAAUAAAAAUAAAUAAAAAACUUAAAUAAGUGGUAUUUAUUUUUUUUUGUCUAAAGUCUGAAUGGAAUAUUAUUAAGUGUUUAGGUCAUUUAUUUUUUUAUUAAUGCUAAAUAUUUUUAAGUAUUAAAUUGCUUGUUUUUAGUAAUGUAUAAAGGUUUAAACUUAUUUAUUUUUACACAUUAAAAAUAACUAUAAAAUUAGUUAUUAUUAUUAUUAUUUUAAAUUAAUAAUUUAAGAAAUAGUAAUUUAAUAUAUUUACAACUAUCUCAAAAUAUUAUAAUUUAUUACCAUAACAAAAAAUUUAUAAUAAUUAAUUAUGUAAUUUAUACAAAAUUAAUAAUUAGAUAAUUAUUAGGAUUUUUAGUUAUGCUUGGUUGUUAAGAAAAUGUUAAAAAAUUUCUAAGUUAAAUUUUAUUUUUAUAUAAUAUAUUUUCAGAUUUAUGAAUAUUGUUGAGAUUAAUUAUUAAUUUUUUUCUUUUUAAUUUGGGAAAAAUAAGAAAGACUAAAAUUUUAGUUUUCAAAAUUAAUUGGAAUUUUUUUAUUCUAAUGAACAAUUAGAUAAGUGUAAAUUCAAGGACAUGAACGACCCUAAUUUGACUUCAACCAGUCCAAUCUAGUCUAAUUAGUUUGGUUUUCAAUUAAAGAUAUUUGAUUUAGUUUGCAAAACAAAAAAAAAAACACACCAAAAAAACAAAAACAAAAAAUGCUUACGUGUUCAUUUGAAAACAAUGAACCAAUGGGAAGUGAACCUACCUAACCUUGUCUAUUAUAUAUGCUACUUAAUCAAUGUCAUUCGGUUUGAAUUAAGAAAAUUUGUAGUAAAUUUAUUUUUUAGUCUAGAUUUUAUAAUUUUAUUAUUCAAUGAGGAGUAUACAUAAAUUUAUGAAAUUUAGUCUAAUUGAAAUUGGAUGAAUUAUGUAUGAGAUAAAAAUAAUGGCUAUUUGCUAUAGAAUGUUGAUUUUAGUUUUAAACUUUUUAGAUUUAAUAUAAAUUUAUUUUAGAUUAAUUUUUUAUCCAAAUUAAGUAAUUUUAAUAUUGUUUGUUUAAUUAUUAGUAGCAAUUCACUGAGAAUAUUUUAGCUAUAAAUUAUCUUGAUAAAAAAUAGAAUGAAUAAAUAAAGCAAAGCCUAUUGAACGUAUAGUAGGAUUUUUUAUGACAAAUUUACUAAUCUAUGAUACAAUCAUUUAUCACUCACAUUACACAAAAUUGAAAUAAAUUAUUCUUUAAAAAAAAAAAUUAAGAGAUGUGGAAAAUUUUCAAAAAUAAAUUUGGUUUAUUUUGUAUAACGAAUUAAAUUUGAGUACUAUGAUAAAGUUAAUGGUUGAAAGGAGAGAAAAUAACUUUUUUCUAGUAAGAUAAAAGUUAUAAAAAAAAUUACUUUUUCUGUUGAGACAAAAUUGUCUUUAAAAAAUGUUAAAUUAAAAAAAAACUAUAAAAAUAUAUUGAAUCUUAAAACAAGUUACUUUUAGACUUAAAAGUGUUGGAAAUCAAGCCCACGUCGCCUUCCUGCUUGUGCAUGUUCCUCCCCAUAUUUAGCAUCCUCUGUUUACUUCCCUAAAUUAGUGUAAUGUACAACCUUUAUUAUAAUUGAUUUAGGAGUAAUUCUAGCAAGGUAGUUUAUUCACUUUCCAUGUAAGAGUUUAUUCACUUUCCAUGUAACACUUUCCAUGUAAGGGAAAUUCCGUCCGUGAUAGUGUACCAUUCCGGAAUUGUCUCAUAUCUAUAGGAUAUUUAUUUAUGCUUUCUUUCAUUGUAAAAAAAAAAAAAAAAAAGUAUCACAGAAUGAAUUGAGUAUGUGUUCCUCCAUAGUUUGUCUUCAAAUUCUUCAUGGUAUCAGAGCAGGUUUAAUCCUGUCUCAUCGUCUUCAUCUUUAGUCAGUAUUUUUUUUUUCCUACUCAAUUCUAUUCUUCUAGUUUAUGCCUAAAUACGGUCCAGCCUUUGGAAUGGCUACCAACUCAUCAUCCUCUACUUCUGAUAUCAUCAUCUCAUCGUCUUCAUCCUCUCAUCAGAUGGAAACCUCUCAUCUUCCAAUCACAGCCCAUAAACUGAAUGGGCAAAAUUAUUUGCAAUGGUCUCAGUCCAUAUUAAUGUUUAUACGGGGAAAGGAGAAAGAUGACUACAUCACCGGAGCUUCGGCGGCACCAGAAACCACAGCAUCAACCUACAAAAAGUGGAUAGCAGAAAAUAAUAUGGUCAUGUCCUGGCUAGUCAACUCUAUGACCACUGACAUUGGUGAAAAUUUUUUGUCAUUUGAUACUGCCAAAGAAAUCUGGGACAUUGCAAAAGAAACUUUCUCAGACAAGGAAAACACAUCUGAAAUCAUCCAGAUUGAAGGCAUCCUCCACGAUUUGCGUCAAGGUAACCUUACGGUAACUGAAUAUUUCAAUACUCUUACUCGUCUAUGGCGUCAACUUGAUACGUUUGAGGUUCAUAACUGAAAUUGUGUUACAGAUGGUUUGUUGUAUAAAAAGAUUGUCGAAGGGAAACGUGUGUUUAAAUUUUUGUUAGGCUUGAACAAAAAUCUUGAUGAAAUCAGAGGAAGAAUCAUGGGAGUAAAACCUCUACCUAGCCUCAGAAAGGCAUUCUCUGAAGUCCAUCGCGAAGAAAGUCGGAAAAAUCUAAUGAUGGGAUCCCAUCAACAACUGAAUAUGGCAGAAAGCUCGGCUCUUAAGACUCAAUUUGCUCCUUUUGACAACUGUCAAAAAAUUAAAGGAGGUAGACCUUGGUGUGAUCAUUGCAGAAAGCCGGGACACUCAAGAGAAAUUUGCUGGAAGAUUCAUGGAAAGCCAGUAGAUUGGAAGCCACGUCAACCACUUGAGAAAGAAGGACGAGGCAAUCAUGUGGCUACCGAUGAACAAUCGCCACAACCUGAAGCUAGCCCUUUUAAUAAGUAGCAAAUGGAGAUGCUUCAGAAACUACUGUCUCCUCUUUUGUCAGUACAGUCACAAACUGGCUAAUCUUCCAACCAGGUCAUUGGUUCCGGAACCUUGGCUCACAAAGGUAAUUUUUUGAGUGCCUUCACUGCUGGUAAGAAACGUAAAAAACCUUGGAUAGUGGACUCAGGAGCAUCUGAUCAUAUGACGGGAGAUGCGACAAUUUUUGAUACAUAUAGCUCAUGUCCAAAUAAUUUAACAGUCCGAAUAGCAGAUGGUUCACUAUCAAAGGUUGCCGAAACAGGUUCAGUUGUGCUAUCAAGGGAUCUUACUCUCAACUCUGUUCUCCUUGUUCCUAACUUGGACUAUAAUCUAUUGUCAAUUAGUAAACUCACUAAGGAAAAGAGGUGUAUUACUAAUUUUUCCUCUACUCACUGUGAAUUUCAGGAUUUGGAUUCGGGGAAGACGAUUGGCAAUGCUGAGGAAUGCUCUGGACUCUACAUCCUUAAGGAGCGCCACGAUCCACAAGAACAACCUCAAAUGACAGUUGGUAGUAAUUCUUUUUCGGUUUCAUGUCAAAAUAACGAUAAUGCAAUUAGGUUGUGGCACUAUCGCUUAGGUCAUCCAAAUGUUAUGUAUCUCAAGCAUUUAUUUCCUUCAUUAUUUAAUAAAAAUCCACAAUCCUUUGAGUGUGAAAUCUGUCAAUUAUCAAAGCAAGUCCGGUCUCAUUUUCCCAUUCAACCCUAUAAAGAGUCUAGUCCAUUCUCAAUGAUUCAUAGCGAUAUCUGGGGUCCAUCAAGAAUAAAAAAUGUAACUGGUACUAGGUGGUUUGUCUCAUUCAUAGAUGAUCACACUAGAUUAACUUGGGUAUUCCCUCAUGAAAAGAAAAAAUCUGAAACGAGUCAAAUUUCCAAAAAUUUUAAAAAUAUGAUUCAAACCCAAUUCCAGUCAAAAAUAUAAAUUCCAAAAGUCCUGAUAAUGCUAGGGAUUAUUUCCAUUCUAGGAGAAUUUCUAGCACAAGAAGGGAUAGUUCACUUAAGUUCAUGUGUUGAUACCCCACAACAAAACGGAAUCGCUGAAAGGAAAAAUAGGCAUUUGUUAGAGGUGGCUAGAUCACUAAUGUUCUCCAUGAAUGUUCCAAAAUUAUUAUGGGGGCAAGCUGUCCUUACGGCAGCCUACCUCAUCAAUAGGAUGCCGUCUAGGGUACUAAAAUUCCAAACACCUUGUCAAACACUCCUAAAAUCCUUUCCGACUACUCGUCUCAUCUCCACCGUCCCACCCAAAAUUUUCGGGUGCUCUGUCUUUGUUCAUAUCAAUCAACAACAUAGAAGUAAACUUGAUCCUAGGUCACUCAAGUGCAUCUUUCUUGGGUAUUCUUCAAAUCAAAAAGGGUAUAAGUGUUACUCCCCGGUCACAAGAAAAUUCUACAAUUCAAUGGAUGUCACUUUUUUUGAAACUCAGCCUUACUAUCCUAAAAACGAUAUUCAGGGGGAGAAUUCAACUCAGGAAUAUCAAUUUUGGGAUCUUGAGUCAUUCAGUGAGUCACCCAUCACCACUGAAAAUCACAUUCCUCCAGAGUCAUUUAAUCAGCCCGAGUCCAUUGUUGACUUGUGGGAUAAGGACCACAUCCAAGAGGAAACGGAGGAAGGAGCACUUUCUCAACAAACCCAUGAGGCUGAACCGGGUCCUAAUCCAAGCAAACUUCCAGGUAACAACGCUCCUGAUGGUACUGUUGAUUCCGAGUUAGAAAAUGAUAUUCUUAAUAUGCCCAUAGCUUGAAGGAAAGGAGUUAGAUCAUGCACUCAGCAUCCCAUUGGAAAUUUUAUUUCUUAUGAUAAGCUAUCACCUACGUUUCGUGCAUUCACUUCUAGCAUCACAGAGAUACAAGUUCCUCGGAAUAUUCAGGAAGCUUUCAAGUAUCCUAAGUGGAAGGCGGCAGUCGAUGAGGAAGUUCGGGCGUUGGAAAAGAAUGGUACGUGGGAAAUUACUAACCUCCCAAGAGGUAAGAAACCAGUUGGGUGUAAGUGGAUUUUCACAGUAAAAUACAAGGCAGAUGGUAAUGUGGACAGGUAUAAGGCUCGGUUGGUCGCCAAAGGAUUCACCCAAUCCUAUGGCAUUGACUAUCAAGAAACUUUUGCUCCAGUUGCCAAGCUCAAUACUGUUCGUGUACUUUUAUCCUUGGCAGCUAAUCUCGAUUGGUCGCUUCACCAACUUGAUGUGAAGAAUGCCUUCCUCAAUGGUGACUUAGAGGAAGAAGUUUACAUGGACAUUCCUGCUGGACUUGAGAUGACAUCAAAUUUCAACAAGGUUUGCAGACUCCAAAAAUCCUUGUAUGGUCUCAAACAAUCUCCCAGGGCCUGGUUUGAACGGUUCACUAAGGUAGUGAAAGGGUACGGAUUCGUUCAAUGUCACUUCCCAGAAGGGAAGCUGGCAAUUAUCAUUAUAUAUGUGGACGACAUAAUUUUGACAGGUGAUCAUGAAGAGAAAAUUGACUUACUUAAAAAAUUACUGACAAAGGAAUUUGAGAUCAAGGAUCUUGGAAACCUCAAGUACUUUCUCGGAAUGGAGAUUGCUAGGUCAAAGAAAGGUAUAGCAGUCUCACAACGCAAAUACGUUCUGGACUUAUUGAAUGAAACAGGAAUGCUAGGAUGCAAGCCGACAGAAACACCUAUGGAUACAACUAUCAAACUGGAAGAAAGUGAUGGAAGUGCGCCAGUUGAUAAAGGAAGAUAUCAACGUCUUGUGGGGAAACUCAUCUAUCUUUCUCAUACAAGGCCAGACAUCGGCUUCUCCGUUAGUGUGGUAAGUCAAUUCAUGAAUAAUCCAACCGAAAAACGCAUGACUGCUGUGAUCAGAAUAUUGAGGUACCUCAAGAUGACACCGGGAAAGGGUCUCUUCUUUCAAAGAACAACAAAGAAAGAGAUUGAGAUUUUUUCAGAUGCAGAUUGGGCAGGUUCAGUGACUGAUCGGAGAUCAACUUCAGGCUAUUGUUCAUUUGUCUGGGGGAACUUGGUUACAUGGCGAAGCAAGAAACAGUCAGUGGUAGCCCGUAGUAGUGCUGAGGCAGAAUUUCGUGCUAUGGCACAAGGUAUCUGCGAGGGAAUCUGGUUGAACAGGCUGUUAGAAGAAUUACGGGUUCCAUUGAAGCAUCCCAUGGUGUUAUACUGCGACAAUCAAGCUGCCAUCAGUAUCGCUAAGAAUCCGGUUCAUCAUGAUCGAACUAAGCAUGUGGAGAUAGAUCGACACUUUAUCAAGGAAAAGAUUGAAGAAGGAGUUUUCAAAGUCAGCUACACUCCGACAAACUGUCAAACGGCUGACAUUCUCACAAAAGCUCUUGCUCGAGGUAACUUCGAAAAUCUGACAGAAAAACUUGGAAUGAUCAACAUCUACAACGCGGCUUGAGGGGGAGUGUUGGAAAUCAAGCCCACGUCGCCUUCCUGCCUGUGCAUGUUCCUCCCCAUAUUUACCAUCCUCUGUUUACUUCCCUGAAUUAGUGUAAUGUACAGCCUUUAUUAUAAUUGAUUUAGGAGUAAUUCUAGCAAGGUAGUUUAUUCACUUUCCAUGUAAGAGUUUAUUCACUUUCCAUCUAACACUUUCCAUGUAAGGGAAAUUCCGUCCGUGAUAGUGUACCAUUCCGGAAUUGUCUCAUAUCUGUAGGAUAUUUAUUUAUGCUUUCUUUCAUUGUAAAAAAAAAAAAAAAAAAGUAUCACAGAAUGAAUUGAGUCUGUGUUCCUCCAUAGUUUGUCUUCAAAUUCUUCAUAUUUUAGUCUUCAAAUUCUUCAAAAAGUAAAAUAAAUAGAUAAGCAUGAACUCAUAAAAAAAUACAAUCAAAACUUAUUUGUAAAUCUUUCUAUUCAACAAAUUAAAUAAAGCCUAGUUUUAAUAACACUAGCUAGGAUGCCAUAACCAAAUGAGAUAUAGGUGUUGGAAAAGAAAACAUGACUCUUUUUCUACCUAUUGUAUUUAAUUUUAUGUCACAAUCUAUUAAAGAAACUUUGUUUCUUUGAAUUUGCAUAUGGAUAACAAAAAGAAGAUUUAUGAUACUUUCUUGGAUUUAUAACAAUAAAACUAUUUCAAAUGUAUGACAACUUAUGAAGCACUAAUAGAAACUUAUCUCUUGAAUAUAUAACUUCCUUAUAAUUAUAUUACAUGGAAAUUAUGCUUCAAAUAAUAAUGUAAAUUUUAAAUUUUGAAUUUAUUUCUUUAAAGAGCAACUUAAAAGUUCAAUAGUUUAAAUGAAGUCAUUUCUAGAAGAGACUUUCUAUUUUACUUUAGCUAGUUUUGGAUUAGAAAUUUAUAACAUUUUAAUUUAUGCUUUGAUUAUUGUUCUAAAUCUAUUUGAGGUAAAAGUCAAUUAAUUAGAUGUUUGAUUAGUUAAUUAAGGUCAUUCAUGUGUUAAGCUCUAAGGUUUAACAUAUAAAAUGAUAAUAAUACCCUUAGCCUCCAGGUUUGAGGUGUCACAAUAUUAAAUAUGUGAAUAUUCAAGUUUUGAUUUGUACCUGGAGGAGAUAUUAAUUUUAUAUCCAAAAAUUCAAAUUUUCAUAAUUAUUAUUUCUUUCAUCAAUAUGAGAUAUAUAUCAUAUAUCAAAAAAGAGAGUAAUCUCACAAUAGGUACAUGAUAUACUUGAAAAACCAAAACAAAAAAACCUCCAUCUUUUAAAGGACAUUGUGUGUGAAAAUAUUUUAAUAAUAUUAUUAUAGUUUAUAACAAGUUAUUGGACCAACUCAAUUCAUAUUAUUGUAUCCCAUUCUAUAUCAUAAGCCAAUUGUUGGUACACGGCCAAUAAUGCUUUGUUUGACUAGCUUCCUUUGAGAGAACGACGAGUGUACUUGUAACAAAGAGUGUUUGGAUAAUUUUUCUAGGCACCCCCUUCGAAGCUUAAGUUAGUUUACGGAAGAGACAGACAAGAAUUUUUGGGAACUUGUGUUAUACUAGGGUUCUAAGGCACAUGUCUUAAUUUUUGGGAACUGCACACGCUUUGCUUCAUUUUCCCUUGAUACUUUUUCUUCAUUGCAUUCCAAAUAUGUUUGAGGUCCUUUAACUUCAAAGCUUCUAAUUCUACUCUCGGUAUAUCUAUCAACAUGACUCUAGUUGUUGGUUCUACUACAUUAGAUUCCAUAACGUUCUAGUACUCCUUGGAUCUUAGGAAAUUCUCCAUCAACAUGUCUCCAAUGAUCAUAGUGACCAUCGAAGCAUGGGAUAGUUGGUUGCACAAGAUUUUCAAAGGUCAUUGUUCUUCAGUGUUGUUGCUACAAAAAAGAAAACAAGUAAAAUAGAAAAAACUACAGGUACAGACUCUAUCGCACACCCCUUUUCCCUUGACCUAGACUUUUUUUUUUCUUUUCCUUUUAUUAUUUAUCACCCCCUCCUUUUCACAUUUUGAUGCCAUUGUUACAGAAUUACUAAGAAAAGUAAAUAAAGUUGCAAGUAAAAAAAAAAAACACACAACAAAGACAUAUUUUUUGCUAUAGAUUUUCAUUAACGAACAACCUUUAUAUAGACAAUUAAACCAAUGGUAAAAAGUAAAAAAAAUGGCAACAGACCAAGACCACUACCUAAAGUGCUCUAUAAUUAGACACAUAAUACAAUGAGAAAAAACUACUUUGCUAAACAAUACAUCACCACUACUACAUUACACAAUGUGCCAAAAAUAGACUCUCCUAAUAAUCAAGCUCAACAAAAGAUCAUAGUAUUGACCAUGAUACGUACAUACAAUAACCAUAAUACUAUUAAAAGAUCCUAUUGACCAAGACAACAAAUAACUCAAAAACUUAAAUAAAUUAAAUAAUAAUUUCAAUAAUUUGAAGAUUUUUAGUAUUGGCAUUAGGUCAUGGAGGGAGAAAAAGAAUGAUAUCAUGUGUCAAUUUUAUUUAUUUUUUAUGAUUUUUUAAAAAAUUUCAAUGUUUUAUUUUUAAAAAUUGGUGAAAACAACUUCUACUUGUUUUCUAUUUCACUUAUAAACAUUAUGAAUUUUUAAAAAUAGUUUUCUAUUUUAAACAUAAAAAGAAACUCCAAGGAAAGAACUCUUGUUUAAGAAAGGUGGCAAUUUUAAGUUAAAAGUUUAUAUAUAUGUUGAUUGGGUUGGCUCCAGGGUAGACGGAAGAUCGACUAUGGGGUAUUGCACCUUCUUAGGAGGGAAUAUAGUCACUUGGAGAAGUAAGAAACAACCAAUGGUGACUUGUUCUAGUGCAAAGGUAGAGUUUAGGGUAAUAGUGCAAGGAAGAUGCGAACUACUUUGGUUGAAGAUAAUACUCUCAAACUUGCAAGUGAGAGUGAAGAUGCUUUAUUGCGACAAUAAAGCAGCUAUAAAUAGAACACAAAUCUCAAUUCAACAUGACCAGACCAAGCAUGUGGAAAUUGAUAGAUAUUUUAUAAAAGAAAAGCUUGACUCUAGACAAGUUUGUCCUCCAUAUGUUUCAUCCUCUAACCAACUUGCAGAUGUGCUCACAAAAGGAUUAUCAAAUGCAAACUUUCAAUAGAUAAUUAGCAAGCUUGGGAUACGAAAUAUCUUGGCAUCAGUUUGAGGGAGAGUGUUAGAAAAGGAAAUAAUUUGUAGGAAUAGGCAUUUUUCCUAUCAAUUAGCUAUAUAUUUACAAUUGUAUUAUUCCCAUUGAUGUGUUCUGCUAUGUAUAGCAUGUUAGGAUAUUUUUCCUAGUUUAGAGCUCUAUAAGUCAACUAGUGUAUUCUAUAUAUCUUGUAAUAUUUUUUUCAAAGUAAUAUAUCCAUUUUUUAUCACUCUUUCACAAGUCUACACUUUAAAUUACACAUACUUUUAUAAUUUUCUUUUAAUUUCUCUAAAAUUUUUCAUAAAGCAAUUAAAUUUUAAAUCAAACUAUGUUUGAUACAUAAAAUUUAUUAAUUUUUAAAAGUAAUUUGAAACUUAAAAACUAAUUUAAUUAGUACUCGAAAGUUAUGGAACUCAAUAACAUUAGAAAGUCAUAGACCAAAAUUUAUUUAAAAUGACUUUGUUAAUUUCUUCUAUAUAUCAUAUUUUUAUAAAUUUUUUAUCUAGAUAAAUAAACUCCAAAUUGAGCAAGACUUAAUGUGUUAAAUUUAUUAAUGAGUAUAAUAAUUCUUUAUAAAAAAAAGGCAAAGGUUGAAUUUGUUAGAUGAAAAUGAAUUUUGACUGGCAAUUGUCUAGUUGUGUGUCUCGUUGUUCCAUAUAUAGCAGCAUGAGGACAUUAGUGGUUGCCAUAGACUGGUUGCUUUUUUGUGGCAGAGAAAGAGUUUCAAUUUGAGCACCCCUGGAUGAAUGGGGAAACAUGGCCAUCUUCAGGAGCAUAGAACUGUUAUUUGUACGAUGUUUUUGUUUUUAGCUGCCUACUCAAUUCCGAAACUGAAUUUGAAUGACUCCCUUGUAUUUUAGGUAGCAUUUGACAGUUGAAGUCAGUUAUGUUUAAUGGCUCCAUUAUAGUACUAUUGUCAUACAAAUAGAAGGGUGCAAUUCAAUUCUCAUAAGACAUGGAAACACGACUAUAAGAUAUUGGAAAUUGAUUUGAAGGUUCCCUUGGUACAUCCCAGGCACUAUAAAUCCUGUUUUUGUGUUGGGACAUUAAGCCUGCUACGAUUCUUUGAUUAUGCAAUUCACAGCAAUUGUUACUAGCUUCCUACAUAAAAAUGGUUUCUCAAGUAUUCAAUAUCUUGACUAGACAAUCUAAGGCUCUUUCUCACUGUUCUAUAACUCCAUAGAAUUCAAUAUCUUGAUUUGCUCACUCUUCUGGUCAUGUUAUUUGGAAUUUCAUGGCAUUUUCUUUUAUUGAAGUGCACCAUUUUUUUUUAAUUUUUUUUUUUGUAGGUAGCAAAGAGGAGGUAUUUUUUGAUUCGCAACCCUGGUUAGAAUCUGAUUGUGAAAAUUUCUUCAGCAUCAGUGCUCGUAAGAUUAACUUAAAUUUUUCAUGGAAAGAAAUUCAUUUUUUUCCUGGUUAUCUUCAGAGGAGUAUGGUGUGUUUUGCUGAGGGCCACAACUAAAAUAGGCAUUGCAGUAUGGGAAAAUUUCUUGGUUCUAUUUCAUGCAGAUUCAACACUACCCUAUCAUGGCAAUAUAUACUCCAAUGAACCAAAGCAGUUUCAGAGAAACUCCUUGACUUGAUAGAUCUCUUUCUAUGAACAAAACACCCAAUUCCAUGACUGAACCCUCCCCAUCUGAUAAGAAGAAACUGAUUGAGCUCUUCCAAGAGAGCUUUGACGAUGAUCCAUUUGAAGGCGAUCAAGACCUACAAGGAAUAGAAAGUAAUAUGGAAAAUGGAAGGCUGAAAGCCAAGGCUACCAUUUUUUUACUUUCUUCCAAAUAGAGGUUGCAGUAGUGAAAGAACUCCAAAUAGAGGUUACAAACCUGAGAGAGAAAUCCGCUCACUCUGCACAGCGUUGCCUUCCCGGUUUGGUUCGGAGUCUGAGCUUUAGUGAUAGGAAGAGGAGGCUCAGCCCUGCCCACAGUAGCUGUAGAAGGUAAGCCAAGCUUUGCUCUGUAUGUGCUUUCAGGUGAAGUUUUGCUUCAAAAUCAGCAUUACUGAAAGAAUUUGGGGUCUCUAAUUCCCUUGUUCAACUUUAUUUGUCCUUCUUUGGGCAGAGUUGUAAAGUGAUCCAUGAACCAGAUGCCUCGUUUCACUGUUUUAUAGGAACGAAAAAUGAUUGAAUUUGUAUUCAUUAGUCUGCCUCCAUGAUGUUAGAGUCCUGAUCAAUCUAUAAGUUUUGUUGUAAGUUGAUGGGUGCUGCCUCUGAAGAAAUUCUUCAAAGCCCCUUGUAUAAAGAGUCUUGGUUGGUGCUUCCCUGUCUCAUAUAAAAAUCAAUUGGCAUGGGAUCACAAUAUAGACUGAAGACGACUUGACCUCAGUCUUUAGCCUAUAUCGCUUCUGGCCUCUCUGUUUCCUUCCUUUCUGGCCUGAGACAUGCCUCCUAUCGUGCUUUUCCUCCCUGCCUCCUACUUUAUGAAAUAUUUUUCAUUGGUCUACAAUUAACUCAUAUCUCUAUCUAUAUUUCAAUAGAGCUUCUUCCUCGCUAUAAUUACAGUCUUUAUAAGUAACAGAACAUCUAAAAGAAAAAUAAUUACAAACAAAUAUUUCAAACAUACAAUUCUUUAACACUAGUACCAAAUCAAACCUUCAUUCACCAUAUGGAUUCCUCCAUUGUAUUCGAUCUGAAACAAGUAAAUACACGUAAUAAGCUUCAAAUUUCACAAGCUUAUGUUCAAUAUCAUAUAUUUUUGUAUGAUCAACCUAAUAGCAGAUCAAAAGUUUCUCUGUCCAUGACUUCAAUUAACAACAAAAAUAUUCACAAAGAUGAGGAAGUGUUUAUAUCUAAUGGUAUAAGUCAUAGUAAUCAUGAGAGUAUAUCUCUCCAUAAAUUUAGAGACUUCUAACCAAGCAAAUUGUAGUCCUAGCUACUUGCUUGUAUUUUGGCAUUUAAUCUCGGAGAUAUGUAUCCUUACAACUCCAUUGAGAAAAUCACUUUCUACAACUUUAGAGAAUUGAAUCAAUUAUAGAUUUAUAGAUUCCCUAGGACGCUUUGUUUAAGGGUUUAAACUCAGAAAUUGAUUACCUUAUACAUAUAUCAUUCUUUGAUCCUAAUAUAUCAUUCUCUUUAUUGAUAACAUUCAAUGGUCACAAAAAUAAGGACUUCGUUAAAAAAAAUGAAUCUAGUUGUUAGAAAGGAAAAACUUUUACAUGCAUAUAAGUUAUAAGCAUCUAAUUAAUCGGCAUUUAACACCAUCCUAUAAAGAUUAAUUUCAUCAAAAGAAUUCAAGUUCACUUCUAACUUAUCUUCAGUUCAUAAUAUGAUUUGAGUGCUUAAAGCACUACAAUUUUCGUAAACUCUAAAUUCAACAAUACGAUCAUUCAUUUUUUUAUUUUUUUUAUUUUUGUGAAUUUAAACCAUUUUUUCCAAUUAAUUAAGAAAUCAUUUAAUAAAAUUUGAGUAUAUAUAACAAGAUUAAUAGAAUGUGUGAUGAAGAUAGGUUUGCAUUACCUUAUGCAUUGGAAUUCAUCUUCCCUUUGUUUUUUUUUUUUUUUUUUUUUAUGAUUUUGUUAUUUUGAAAUCACGUCACCCUCUGCAAAAUAGAUGAAUUCAUUCUGAUGAUAAUUCACACAAAAAAUUAAAAUAAAUAAAUAAACAAGGAAAAAGAAAGGGAAAAUAUGCAAGAUAACUCACCUCUUCAACCUUGAGCUCCACCAUUUCUUUUCAUCUUCCUUCGGAAACGAGCCACAUUCACUGCAAUAAAGACAUACAUCCUAUCUUUCGCUUCACCAACAAACCGAAAAUAAGCAUGCCUCCAAGACUUUUUUAGAGCCAAAGUGCCACAUACAGCCCAAAAUCCCACCGGGAAGCCCAAUCCCAUGCUUGUGAAGAACCACAAUGUUUCCCACCCAUCGUCAUGAUCUUCCUUCUCAUCUUCCUCAUCUUUGUGAUCUUCAUUAGGAGUGGAGCACUGGGUUGACAAUGGAAGCCCACAAAGUGCCAGGUUACCCUCAUACAUGGAUGGAUCAUUGAAUGUAGGGAAUUGGUUGGUUGUUGGAAUGGGUCCUGACAGGAGGUUAUGCGACAAGUUCAAAUCGCUCAAUGAGGUUAUAGAAGCCAUGCUCAGAGGAAUUGGGCCUGAAAGGCGGUUGCUCGAGAGGUCCAGAGUUUCUAACCCUUGCAUGGCUCCAAUGUCCUCGGGUAUCUUUCCAGUCAAUUGGUUCCGGGACAAAUUCAAGGUACCCAAGGUUGAGAGAUUUUUAAUCCCAUGUGGAAUCUCUCCCCAUAAGUUAUUCCUAGAAAGGUCUAUCAACUUCACAAUUGAAAGUAUCCUCUCAAAUUCCAUUUCUUUUCCCUUCACAACUAGCUCCAUUCCCUCCGUGUAGUAAUAAUCAGUAUAUAGGUAAUCUGGAGAAGGAUCUAAUAAGGUCACAUGAUUCAUAGCACUCAAAUGGCCUAAGCAUGGAGGGAUGGAUCCUGAUAGAUUAUUAAGUGCAAGGUCCAAAAUGCGGAGAUCAGAAAGCCCACAUAGUUGCUCAGGAAUAUUUCCGGUCAGCAUGUUGCCUCGUAAGCGUAGCUGCUUCAGUGAUGACAUUCUUUCUCCGAUCCAUUUGGGUAUCUCACCUGAAAACCUGUUAUUUCCAAGAUCAAGGGAGUACAGACUGCAGUUUUGUAAGCUUGGAGAGAGUUCCCCAGAAAGAUGGUUGUCGCCCAGUUUCAACAAGUAAAUUACAUGGAUUGAACAUAUGGAACUUGGAAUCUCGCCAUACAGUCUGUUCUUGGAUAGAUCAAUGAUGCCAAGCAUUUCCAUAUCUUUCCAAUGAUUGGGAAUCUUUCCAGAUAAAUGGUUAUUUGAGAGAUCAAUAAUCCUCAAAUACUUCAGGUUAGUUAAUGAUGAUGGGAUGGUCCCAUUCAACAAGUUCCCCGAAAUAGUCAGGACUCUCAAACUUGAUAAUUCCCCAAUAUUGGACGGAACUGGACCUGAAAAUAAAUUGUUCCCCAAAACAAGAUAUGUCAAAUUAUACCAAAGUGGGAGUGGACCCUCUAAGCGGUUGAAACUUAAAUCUGCCAUACUCCAUCCAUGCGAUGUGCUGAAGGAUAAGGGACUGGGAGGCUUUCCCCUCAAUUGGUUCCUGGAAAGAUCUAACCACCCAAGCUGUGGAGACAACUUCCAAAGCCAUUCUGGUAUAGUGUCUGAAAUCCCAACAUUAUGGAGGAUUAUUUGGUAAAGUUCCUUCUGAGUUCCGAGCCAGGCAGGGAAUGUUUGAGACAGUAUGCAGUUGCCGAUUCUGAUAACCUUGAGACUGAAAGGAGGAAUCCAGUCACUUGUAAUAUCGAAAACCAGAGAGUUGUUUGUAGCCGGUGAUAAGUAUGAGGAGAAAUAUUCCAGUUUUAUAAGACCCAUGAAGUGAAUUUCGGAUACCCUCCCCUUCCAAGGAUUCCAAUCAAAUGUUAAGGUAAGGAGCUCUUUAAGUUGUCCUAUACUUUCUGGGAUGGUCCCAUUCAUUCCGUUGUGAGAGAGGUCCAAUUCCUCCAACAACAACAGCCUUCCAAUGGAUGCUGGAAUUGAACCCGAGAUUGAGUUGUCACUAAGAUCAAGAUAUCUUAAGUUGUCAAGGUUUCCUAUUGAAUCAGGGAUCAGGCCGCUCAAUUCAUUUUUAGACAAAUCCAGGUAAUUCAAAUAUUUCAAGUCAAGCAAGGAAUCACUUAUCUGGCCAAUUAAACGAGACAAGGGAAAUGCUGCUUCAUCGGAUUGAUAAGGGUUUUUGAGGUCUAGCUUUAUAACAUGUCCUGUCCCAUUAUUGCAAUCCACGCCUUGCCAUUUGCAACAAUCUCCACCAACCCAAGAAGAAAGCCGACCUGAAGGGUCUUCCAGACCACCUUUGAAUUUAAGAAGGGCUUUCCGCUCCAUCUCAAUGCAAACUACGUCCCUAUCACCAUCAGUGGAAUUGAUCACAAGGGCUUCAAGUAAGAAAAAUUUUAGAAAUAAAGGAACCAAAAGAAGGAUAAGAAAUAUGAUGAAGGUUUUCCUGGUCGCCAUUGCUAAUGCUCUACAAAGAUAGAUCACAGCAAAGACAGUAUUUCUUUAUAGGUAGAUACCAUUAGUCUUUUGUUGGAUUUAUUUAAUAGUAAGUCUUCAUAUAAACCAGCUCAAAAAAUUUAAGGAGCAAAGACCUUUCGGCCAUAUAUGGGCCAACCUCGUCUACCGCAUUCAACUAACAUUGCAAGAAAAAUAAUAAUGAAAACACUAGGAAAAUGUGAUUGCUUGUUUGACUCAAAAGCAGAUAGUAAAGUAUCUUGUGCUUCAUCAAGUUAACAGACAAGACUUUAGAUUUAUCGAAGUUUUUGAAUGGAUAGACAUGCUGCAAGUUCAAAUCAUAGCUGGCCCAAUUCAUAAUUAAUUAUACUAAUUACCAAAGCCUUCCAAGUUAAGUUAUUGUCAAAAUAAAAUAAAAUUGUGUAAGAGACUUUUUACUGUAACAUAUGUCAACUACCAAAUCUUUAAAGUUUUAAGUCAUUGUCCAAGGGAGAAAAAAAUCUAAGGAAAAAGUCUUCAUCUUUUUUCUUGUCCACAUGUCAUGGACGAUUUGUUUAAACGAAGAAUCCAGAUGUAUUAUAUAAUAUAUGUAUUAUCAUUAUUUUAUUUUAAUUUGAGAGAUACUUGAGGCAAGUGUAUUAAGAUACUUUCAAACUCAAGUCUUUCCAUGUGUGUGCUUUUACACUUGGUUCGGUGGUCCAAUUAAUGGUCCAAACAAUACUAAUAGACUAACUUCUUCUUUUGUUAUAUCAUUGAUUUACAAUACUAACAAGAAGAUGGAUAUUUAAAAUAAAUAUACAUUCAUGCAUAAGAUAAUAAAUAUGAAAAUAAUAUAGGUAAAAAAUACACUAAGAUAAUAAUUCGAUCAAUAUAAUAAAUAGCCAUUGGAAGCAUAUAAAAUUAACCAAUAAAAUUUUAUUUUUUCAUAUGUAACAUAUUUUUUAAUAAUUAAAUAAUAUAAUAUAAUUAUUUAAUAAAAUUAGAAAUAUUAAAAUCUAUAUAAAUAUAUUAUGAUUUUCUAAUUUUAUUUAUACAAAUAUCACAAGUUAAUUAUAAUUGAACCAUCGUAUUGAUUUUAACAUUUCAUAUUUAUUCAUUUGUUCAUUUUAAAAAUAUUAAUAUAAAUCAUUAAUAUAUAUUUAAUAAUAAUUUGACUUUUGUAACCUAAUCCAAAUAUUUAACAGUAAUUUGACUUUUGUGGAGUAAUCAAAUUUAUUUUGUUAAAAGAAAAUGAUUAAAUCUGAAAUUUAUUUACUUAAUGGUCUAAAGUUAAUUAACCCUUUGAAUUUUCUUUUUUUCUUUUUUUUCUUGUUAAGACAAGCGAAUUGUUUAUUUCUUAGAAAAUUAAAGAGAAAAUGUAAAUAAAAAAUAAAAAAAUUUUAAAAAAAUAAAAAAUUUAAAAUUUAAAAAAAAAUAAAAAAUACUAGAAUCAAUGUAUUAUAUUAUUUUUAUAUUCCUCUUUAUUAAUGAAAAAAAAUUUAUUAAAAUAUGCUGAGGUUAAUUGUUUUUAGUUCCUUUAUUUUAAAUUUUUUACUUUAUUUUCCUUCAAUGUUAUCUUUCCUAGUAAUAUAAAUGUGGAUUUGGGAAGUACAUAUGUCUAUAUAUGCCUAUCUUGUGUAUUUCAAAUUUAGAGCCGAAAUCUAGUCAAAGAGAAACAAUAACCCGAAAUUCAACCCGGUUGGCCAGCCACUGAUGAAAGGUCUCUAAAGAUUGGUGUCUUCUUCGCUUCACAGCGAUGAAACGCAUAGCCGGGGACGAAAUCACCGGCUAUCUAGUUCGGCUUUCAAAUCUCUAGUUUCGGUUCUCAUGCUAGCCAUGUUCGCCACCAUGACAUCGAUUUACGUCAUCUGCUGGUGAGUUCUCACAUUGUUUCGUAUUGUGAAAUGAUUUUCGUUUCUUAGCUGUAAUAUUGCUUCUGGUGUGGUUAAUUUUGUUAAUUUAGGUUUUUGAUUAUAAUUGGUCUAUUUUGUUCAAAAAUAAAUAAAUAAAUAAAUUGUUUUUAUGGAAAUAUGCUAUUAGUAGGCUAUGGCUGGAUUAUGAGAAUAGGGUUUAUUUGAUUAGAGAGCUUGAUAUUGUUAUUCAAUUUUAGCUUCAAAUUUUCUUCCCCACAAUUUUGUUAAUGCAUUUUUUGGGAUUAUUUUGUUAUCAAGAUUAAAUUAUAGAAUUAUAAUGAUACAAAGGGGGUCUUGACAUUGUAUGGAACUGGAAUCAGUCCAUCAUGGUUUAGAUUAAUUAUAUGUUCUAUAGCAUUACAUUGCAAUGCUAAAUAAACUAGUGAUUUGCAUGAGCUCAUGUUUUUUUCUUUUUUUCUUUCUGUUUUCGUCUUUUUUAUUUUUCUUUUAUUGAAACAAUUGGAGUUGAUACUAGCCUAUUUUCAUUUUUUGAAAUUAAUCAUUCAGAGUAAUUGACUAGAUAAUGGGUUUUUCCAUUUUAAUAGUUUUCAGGUGCAAUGAGCCAAUGACACACUGCAAAUUAUAGCAUGCAGGUAAAUAAAUUAUAGCUAUCCUUCCUUUAUGUGGGGUUUUUUUUGGGGCUUUUGUUAUAAUAGACAAAAUAUAAUCUAGAGGUCAUGGUGAUGUUUCUUCAAUUUUAUAGGAACAACAGAAGAAGUUAGCAGCCCUUGAGAUGGAGCUAGUUGUAGCACAACAGGAAGAUUUUAUCUCAAAGAACUUGUCAGAAAAUAAGGAGACUCCUCCUAAGAAAAAGCUUUGUUGUAGGAAUUAUGACAAAGUUUGGCCACAAGAACAAUAGAGAUGCAAUCCGUAGGGGAUGGAUGCCAACUGGUAGAAUACCCUUCUUUUUGUAAGUUUCGCUUUUUAUUCUUUGUAUGAUUUACAUAGAGAAUGACCCAGUUGCCACUUAACACAUUGACAUUUCUGUUAUAAGCAUAUAAGGGAUAAAAACAGGAGGCUUGUAGGCUGAACUCUUAUUAACAUGGAAACUUUUAGUGGACUUCCAUUUCUCUUCUAUUCUUUUUUCAUUGUUUUGUAUAUUUUCUUAGUUUGCAAUAGUCAUCUUUCAAUAGUUUGCAAACUCCAUCAACCAAUUUGAAAAGCCUUGGAGCUAAUAGGGGCAAAUUAUGAGAAGCUAAAAUCUUCUUUCUCUAGGAUUUUUCUGAAGUUGCUCAAUUGAAUGGAGAGCAAAAAACCAUCAAGUGCCCCUGCCCCUGCCCCUGCCCUGCACGUACCCUCUAUACCCCUAUUUACAGAAAUUUUGAGUUUGUCUUUAACGUAAUAAGGGAGACAAUAGUUUGUAUAAUAAUGAAACAGGAAGUAAUAUUGUGAUUCACUGCUGCAAAAAUUAAUAUUGACAUAACUUAUGUGCUAAACUGCACUUAUAUGCUUAGCACAAAAGUAUGUCAUUCUUCAUUUGAGAGCAUUACUUUAAACCUUAUAUGUUAACAUCACUUUUGCCAUAACUAAUCUUUCUUUCUUUCCCUUUAUCCAAGACAAUGCAUAUCAAGUGAUUGAUACUUAAGUUAAUAGCCUUAGCGCACACAUGGGGUGAAGUUUGAAUCCAGAAUUUCCCAAUAGUCUUAAUACGCUUCCUCAGGUGUGUUUCAAACUUAAGACGUCAAUGUUAAACCACCACUUUACCAAAAACUUUUAAGUUACUAAGUAAUAGGCCAGCAAUGGGAUAUUAAGGCAACUAACAGGUAGGUUAAUAGCCUGAGCAAUCAUCUUAUAAUGUUUAAUGGUUCAAAUAUUGACAAUAAAAACACUUACAAAAGCAUGAUGACUUACCCAUCGUUUUCAUACAGAUACUCUGGAAGCAACUCUUGCUACUCAUUUGAAUAAGCCUCGAGUUUAUAUUGGGUGUAUGAAAUCAAGCGAAGUUUUCUCAAAGUUGUGAGUAUAAUCAAAGUUUUUUUUUUCUUCUUCUAAUGAUGAGAAAAUGAGUUGUUUAUGAUAUUCUACUUUCAUAUAUUGUAUUAUCUUUCCGUAUUGUCUGAAUUAUGCAGGAUCCACAAGUAGUAAGAACCAGACUGGUAGAAACUUGGUGAUGGAAAAUCGUGAGUAAUUCUGUAUUGAUUUCAUCUUGUCUCUUAUAUUAAGAUAAGUAACUAUUACUUUCUAGUUCUGUUAACUAGUUAGGAAGUCUCUUAGUAUCUUAGAAUUCAUCUAAUAGGUGAUAGAAGUCCCAAUGAACAACUAGGGCAUUGUCCCAUAGGAGGCUUGCUUGAUAAAGAAUCAAAGUACCGUUUCUGAAGUUUUUUGGGCAUUUAAACAAUUUAUCAUUCCAUCAUAUUCUUGACAUCUGUUACACUUAAUUUGCCUACCCCAUGCACCCAUAUUUAAACCAUCUCAACUCUGACUUGUGUCGAGGUAUCCUGGAGUUGGUAGAGGGACGCCUUCUCGGGAAGUCAGGCUUACAUUGGCUGAAGAUACAUUUAGCAAAUUUAUUUGCUAGUGGAAUGGACAAGUUAUCGUAUGAGGGUUGGGUAGCAUUUACUGAGAAUCAUUUGGAAGAUAUCUUUGAUUCUGUAGACGUACCUUUGGAAGGAAGACGUUGGUGGUUGUCUGCCUAGGAUCCUCUCCAAUGUUCAUGUAUUAAUCUCUCAAAAGCAUUAAGAAGCUCCCUUCCAAAAACUACUAUUUCACACAUGCUUGUCCACCAGGUACUUCAUUCUUAGCAUGAUCAUAUUCAAACUGAGAAAUGUUUACCGAGUGAAAUCAAAUUAAUCCCACCUCCUUCCUACUCCACCCAACCCCACAAUAAAAAGGAAAUCUCAAAACUAGCUUUUAUUGGAAUUCUGUUCUAUGCAUAGGCAUAUCAUUUGUUAUCCUGUGUAUUUUGUAUGAACUCCUCCAAGUAACUAUAUAGCUCUUCUGCAUUUACACAUGGAAAAUGACAGUCACAUGAUUAUACAUACCCUUUAGAGUACCCCAUUUGUUACCCCAUCAUUAGGAGCAGAAAUAAUGGAUCUGCCACUUCUUUCACAGCCCUGUCUUAUGUUUGCGCUAUCCUACUAUAGUACGCUUGAGAGGAUAACAGACAUUUCCUUGAAUUUACUUUUGUUUUCAUAUUAAAUGCUUAGAUUCAGGUCAUUUGUUUGUCCAAAACUUAAUUUAAGAUUGUAUUGUUCUAUCUUUUUCAAGGAUGGCUCAUGCAAUGGCUUACGACACUAUGUUGCCCUUGGAAGGGACAAGGUAUUGGAAUUUUAUGUUUUUGGUUGAUUGUUGUGGAGUUCUGAUUAUGUGAUAUGGAAGCAUGGUUUUUGAUUAGUUAGACAUAGUUUUUCGCUCUUUUUCUGCUUUGAGGCUAAAUUUGUCUCAGCUUUGAUCUUCUCUCUUUUUGAUAGAAAGAAGGAACUUUGUUAAGGAAAGAUGGUAAAAGGAUAAGGAGUUGGAAAUUGAAACCCAAGAAAGAAACCAAACUUUGUUUGAGUUUAGUGCAAUUUAUUUAAUUUGACUUUUCAAGUAAUUUCAAAGUUUGGUUGUUUCAAGAAAGGGGAUUAUCAUUGGUAUUUGGCAAGUUCAAAGGCUAGGGCAGCAGAUCAGUCUCUGAAGACUGAAUUUUAGUUAGAACUUAGUAUUGGAGGAGAUAAUUUUUCUUGUUUAUUGAAGUUUCCUUAUCCUUUGACAGCAGAACUUUGAAUUGGGGAUCAUUAAUUGAUUAUGCAGUUCGGAUACAUAUAUAUAUAUAUAUAUAUAUUUGGAUUAUGCAAUAUUAGAAAUUAAAAUUUUGUUCUGAAAAAUGUAGCAGGACCUCUUCAAUAUUGAAAUGAGAAUUUUAAUCAAAAUAUUUGAAAAAAUAUAUAUUCAAGACUUCAGCUGUGUCCACAUAAUAACCUAUGGCACCGGGCAAGGAAAAGUGGCAUGCAUAUGAAGCCCUAUAGUUGCAAUUGACAAAAGGUCAUGUAUAUAAGUACUAUAUAGUAUUAAAUUUUGUAGAUAUCACACCUUUAUAGCAGCAACUAUCAGCUGUCCCAGCCACAUAUAGAGCUUUUAGUUGAGAAAAAAACAUGAUCGCGGGGAUAGCUUCACAACUUCUACUUGUAUUUUUUUACCAGUGGCUGCAAGUAUAGGAUUUAUUCUGCAUCCCUAUGGCCUUCGCCGCUAUAAACUUACAACACUUGCAACACUUGUAUUGCACAACUCUUUGUCAAUGGUUGUAAAAAAUAGUUUUCUAUUUUUUGAGAAUUGAAAAUAAGAAAAUCUUGUUUGACAAUAAGAAAAUAGUUUUUGUUCUUAAAAAAAAAAAAUGUGUUUUCAAUUGUUUUUUAUGAUUAUUUUUAAAAAAAUAAUAAGAUAAAUAUAAAGAAUAAUUAAAAAUAAAAUGUUACAUACAAAACUUAUUUUUUUGAAAAAUAUUUGAAAGCAAAAAAUACGUUAAAAAUAUUUCAAAUUCUUAAACAAAUUUUUAUCAUAUAAAUAUUAGAGAAUUGUUUUUUAAAACCAUUCUUAAAAACUUUUUUUUUUUUUUAGAACAAUUUUCAAAAUCAUUUCCAAGCUGACUUAUAACCCAUUUGACAGUGAUUUUAGAAAAUAUUUCUAAUAUUUUUAAUACUUAAAAAAUUUUAUCAUUCAAAUGUUAAAAAAAUUAGAAAUAUUUUCUAAACUUACUGUCAAAGACAUUUUUAAAGUAUGUUUGACAAUGCUUUUAAGAAGUGUUUCUAAUCUUUUUAAUACUUGAAAGAUAAAAAAUUUUAAGUGUUAAAACUUAAAAUUAUUAGAAGUCCUUCCUAAAAUCACCACCCAAUAAACUCUAAUUCUCAUUACCAGAGGCUUGUAGGGGCUUUUAUAAUUUACCUCCCAAUCAUGUUAAAUAUGUGGUAACCAUGUUAAGAGAUUUUAGGUUAGCAUUGGCUAGUUUGUGCUUAUAUGUACUUAAUUUUUGUUUUUAAAAAUAGAAAAUGAAGGUAACUUCAAUAUAAAAUAUUAAAACUUUUGGAGACUUAUUAAAAAAAUUUAUAGUGAUUUUUAAAGAUAUAAGAUGAGUUUAUACUUUUGGUAUAAAAUUUUCUAUUUUUAAUAUAAAAAUUAUUAUUACUUUUUGUGAUUAAAAAUAUGUAUAAAAAAAAAGGUCAGUAUAUAAAUAAUAAAAGUUGAAAGAACAUUUUCAAAUGUGGGCUAAGUCUAAUACUUAAUAUUAAAUCAUCUCUCAUUCAAAUAAUAGUCUUUAUAAAUAAUAGAAUAUCCUAAAGAAAUAUGGUUAUGGACAAAUAUUUCAAACAAAUUUCUCAAACACUAGUAUGAAAAGAAACUUUCAUUAACCAUGACGAGCUCCCUGUUUCAAUCUAAAACAUGUAAAUAAGUAUAAUUUACUUUAAUUUAAGCAAGAUUUAGAUUUAUAUUAUGGACCAUAUAGUAAACCUAAGAGAUGAUCACAAGUUUCUUAGUCCAUGACUUCAAUUAAUAGAAAAAAUAUUUAAAAGCUCAAUUUUGUUGGAAUUUUGUUCAAUUCAUUCUAGUUUGAGACUUUUUAUAAUUUCCCAUAACUUACACCCCAUUAAAGAUAUAAGAAUAUUUAGAGUUAACUAGAUAUUAGAUAGCAUAAGUAUAAAGAGUUAUGAAAAGGAUAAUAACUUUUAAUUGAAAAAGAUUUUGGAGAUCGAGUGCUCAAGCACUUGAAUCUAGCUUUCAAGGCUUGGAGCACUCAAAAGUGGGGUUUCCAAAACAUAAGUUUGCAUACAACCCUCAUUAAAAAUAAAAAAAUGAUUGCAUAUAUAUAUAUAUAUAUAUAUCCAUGGUUUAAAUAAAACAUUCCUUAUAUUUACAAUAAGUUUAUUUUAGAGUGUUGUUUUUAUAUUAUAACAAUGUUGUUAGGCCAUAUUUUGCUAAACAAAAUGAAGAGAAAACACAUUAUUUGGAAAAUAUUCUACAACUAGAGGUGAUGAGGUUUACCAUAUUUUUCAAUAAUGUACAAUUAGCUCAAGCACUUGAAGCUUAUACCAAAAAUAUAUUUCAAUCAAUAAUGGACAAAAUUUUUGAAUGGUACUUAGUGAUAAUCAACUACCAAAUUAACAUAAACAUAAAAGUUGAAAGGACAAUUUUAAGGCAUAGAUGACUCAAAAAUAUCAAAAGUAGGUUGAGUAUCCAACCUAAUAUUACAACUUUUCUCACUUAAAUGACAAUUCAUAAAUAACAAACCUACCUGAAGAAAAAUAAUUGUUUGCCAACAUUUCAAAGAUAGAGUUCUCAAAUACUACUAGUACCAAAAGCAAUCUUUAUUACCACCGAGAAUUCAUCAUUGUAUUCAAUCUGAAACAAGUAAAUACACAUGAUUAGCUCCAAUUUAAGCAACAUUUAGAUUUUCAUCAAAGAAUAUAAACAACAUGUUCAAUAUUAUUAUUAUUAUUAUUAUUACUCCAAUUUAAGCAACAUUUAGAUUUUCAUCAAAGAAUAUAAACAACAUGUUCAAUAUUAACAAACUUGGUUAUUGAGACUGUUUAAAUUCCUAUAGUUUUCAUACUUGUGGUAUUAACCAUACUCAAGUGAGUAUAUUUGUCAAUAAAUUUAGAGUUUCAACUAAUAACCUAUAACAAUCUAUAAUCUUAGUUGCUUGCUUGUAUAUUUUUUGGAGUUGAAUCUUAGAAAAAAUUACACAUAUCUUAACCUUCCCUAUGAAAAUCACAUUCUGCAACUUCAAAGAGUUGAACCCAAUUAUAAACUUCCUCAAUCCUCUUUCUAAUGACUCAAACUAGGAGAUUGAUUACCCUAUGCAUUGUAUUUAGGAACUUAAUUGUAGUAAGGGAAGAGAAACAACUUAUAUUCAUAUGCAUAGUUGAAGGGUCUACAAAUAUGUCGCUUACUAUAACAUGAUUCAAACAUUUAAAUGAAUAUACUUUUAACAAAAUCCGAGUCCAACAAGACAACAAUUCAAUUUCUUUUGUUAAUUUAAAACAUUAUUUCCAAUUCAAGAAUUUAAGAAAUCAUAUAAUAAAAUAUAAGUAUAAAAAGAUUAAUAGCUAACAAAUAUGUACCUAAACGGAGAUGGCCUUACACUACAUUGUAAUGAAAUUCAUCUUACCUUCUUUUUGUAUGAUGUUUGUUAUUUUGAAACCUUAUCACCCUCUGCAAAAGAGCUGAAUUCAUUGUGAUGAUAAUCAUAACACACCAAAAAUACAAUGAAAUUAAAAAACAAACAAGGAAGAAAAAAAAAAGGAAAAAGAAUGGGAAGUGAUGUAAGAUAUUUCACCUUUUUAGCCAUGAACUCCAUUUGCUUCCAUCUUCCUUUUCAGACGAGCCACAUUCACUGCAGUGAAGACAUAUAGCCUAUCUCUGGUUUCAUCAAUGAACCGGAAAUAUGCCUGCCUCCAAGACUUCUUUAGAACCAAACUGCCACAUACAGCCCAAAAUCCCACCGGAAAGCCCAAUCCCAUGCUUAUGAAGAACCAUGACAUGUCCCAUUCAUCUUCAUCUUCCUCCUCAUCUUUGUGAUCUUGAUCAUUUAAAGUGGAGCAGUUGGUGGAGCAGUUGGUUGACAAUGGAGGCCCAUAAAGUCCCAGGUUCGCCUCAUAAAUGGAUGGAUCGUUGAAUGUCGAGAACUGGUUGGUUGUUGGAAUUGGUCCUGACAGGCGGUUAUGCGAUAGGUUCAAAUGGUUCAAUGAGGUUAUAGAAGACAUGCUCGGAGGAAUUGGGCCUGACAGGCAAUUGCAUGAGAGGUCAAGAGUUUCUAGCCCUUGCAUGGCUCCAAUCUUCUCAGGUAUCUUUCCAGUCAACUGGUUUCGGGACAAAUUCAAGGUACCCAGGGUCGAGAGAUUUGUGAUCUCUUUUGGGAUCUCUCCCCAAAUGUUAUUACUAGAAAGAUCAAUCAAAUUCACAAUU
RNAcentral lists this long non-coding RNA (76450 nucleotides) under Vitis vinifera (wine grape). RNAcentral describes it as "long non-coding RNA (VVIN_LNC000278)". The record is from RNAcentral. Lineage: Eukaryota; Viridiplantae; Streptophyta; Magnoliopsida; Vitales; Vitaceae.